UAUCUUCCCUUACCCUUCAUGCUUAAAUAAAUAACUAACUUAGACAUAUUAUGGUUCAGUUUUAUUUUACUAUUUGGAUAUCUGAGUUUUCAGUUGGUUUUGGAAUGUAAUAAAGGAAUUUGUGUUCUCUUGAAAUGAAAAUGGUUUUCUACCCCUCGUGGUACCGUUUUGAAAAGAUAAAAGUUCCUGUGUAGGAAACAGUUUUCAAAAGAUUUUCUGUGGAUUUUGUGUCUUAGUAUUUCAAAACCUGUUUCUAUGGUUGAAAACAUUUUAACUGAUAGAUGUGGAUUUAUAUUUAAAUAGCGAAUGUAUAUUUGUGAAUCUGUGGUGAAUGGUGUAUGAAUGUAUAUCUGUGGUUAUUUGUAUGUUCAUCUGGUUGUAGUUGUUGUAUGAUUGAACUCUUGUACUUGUGCGACGCCGUGCAAAUACAGGGGAGACUCUGUCCGUGUGAACAGUGGAACUCCUAUAUUUGUGGCGGAUUUGGCACACUCUGGGGUCAGGUUUUCAAAAAAAAUUUCAGACGCUUUUCCGCUACCUUUUAAACUAAAAGGGACCCUGGGGCGUGACAAAUAAAGAUCUACUAAUCAGGUUCCGUCGGAUUUCAGGAGAAUGCUGCACAUUGUGAAGGAUUAACGUCUUUCCUGAAGUUAACUUCAGCUUGACUGUUCCGAUCCCCAAUACAUUGACAGCUUUUCCAUCUCCAACAGUCAUACAUCCUCCACUUGUGUCCUGAUAAGAGGAGAAUAGGGAUCUAUUAGUGCAAACAUGGACAUUGGCUCCAGAGUCUAACCACCAAUCUAAAUCAUGAUAGGUAAGGUUAACAUUAGGUACAAAUGAUACUGACCUAAAAGUGGAGUUGGAAGGUCACUCUCAAUCAUAUUGACCUGAGGUUUAGGAUAGUUGUUCUGAGUGUUUUGGCCCUUCUUGUAGACAACCUUCUCUUUCUUCCGAUGAAAAUAUUUUGAAGCAAAAUGGUUGUCACGGCCACAUACAUAUCAGAAACCAUCCUUCUUCUUAUUCCCACUAGGUUGGUUGGUAUUAGGUUUCUGGGUAUAGUUCCGGUUUCGAUUAGGGUUCCUACCUUUAAAACCUUUACCCUUAGGUUUAAAAUUUUUACCUUUGGGUUUAGGCUUGUGGCUCUGGUUUUGAAUCUCGGUCAGGUUUAUGUUUGAUCGGUUGUUGGACGGUUUAAUCUCCCUAAGUCGGUAUUGGUCUUCUAUUCUAAUAGCUUGGAUUACCGAUCUAAGCUUAAGAGUUUUCUGGGUACGUCCAAGCUCAUGGGCAAAUUUGGUCCAGGAAGGGGGUAAUUUAUCCAAUAGACAGGUUGCCUGAUAGGUUUCAUUUAAGAUUGAUCCAUUUCUAUGAAUUUCUUGGACAAAAUUCUGAAAUUGAUGGAUUUGAUCAUUUAUAGGAAUGUUAUCUACCAUUCUAAAAUUGUUAAAAUAGGUAAUGGUAAAUCUGGCGACACCUUCAUUAUCUCUAAUGUAGGCAUCUUCUAAGGCAAGCCAUAAAUCUUUGACAGUUUGAUAUUUCCUAUAGGUUUCAUAAAGUUCAUCAGGUUGGCAGUUAAGUAUUCUAAACCUACAGUGAAAUUCAAUUUCCUCAGGAGAUUUGUCAGUUUUAGGUUCUGUAACUGAGGUGGUAGUAGAAUCAAAUGGAGGAGUUUCAAUAGGUGGAUCAGAAGAAUUUUUAGAAGUAGGAUAAGGAGGUGUUUUUCCAAUUGCAGUUAUGAGGCCUAAGGUGAUAAGCCAAGCCUCUAACUGCUCUUGUCACCUUAAAAAACCUACCUCUUUAAAUUUUUCUGGUUUAAGGCUAGAAGUAUCAUCAAAACCCAUUCUAAACAAUCUAGUUGAGGGAACAAAGAAAUUAAGGAUGAUUGAAAAGAGCUGCAAAAAAGGUUCAAAAAACUUUUUUAGAAAAACAAACAUGUUAAGGUUUCUACCUUAGUCAACCAGAAUAUUUUAGGGUUUAAGUUUUUAAAUUUUAUCUUUUAUGAAAGUUCGUUCAGCAGCAAACAGAUGGCCUAAACAAUUUAAAUAUUUGAUUUCAAUUAAGUAAUCUUGAAUAGAUAUAUAUAUGCAAUCAAAUACUCUUUAUGCAGCAACCAGAUUAUAUAGAAAAUACUGAAACAAAAGAGAUUAUAAAAAUGGAAUGGGCUUGUUGGUUAGGUCCAGCUUUUAUAAAGUAGUGGAGAUAACCAGCUGAGGGUUCGAGUCCUCCUUAAAGCAAAUAUUUUUUUUCUUUUUUUUUUAUAUUAUCAAAACAGUAAAAUAUAAAUAUAUAUUUGAAAAUAGUAUAUAUAUAAAUUAAACUUUAAAAAGCUGUACACUUAAAAAUAAUUUACUAUAGCAAAUGUUUUUUUUUUUUUUUUUUUAAACCGUACAAGUAGUUUAAAACUUUUAACAAACAGUAAAAUUUUUUUUAAAAAUAAUCAAAAAGUUUUAUUGUAGCAAGAUUCAAACGUACACAGGAGAGUUAUAAAAAAAAAUUCACUGUAACAAUUAUUAUUAUUAUUUUUUUUAUGAAAUAGUUUUACUGUAGCAAAACUAAAAACUUAAAUUUACAGUAGCAACUAUUUUUUUUUUUUUAAAUAACAGUAGAAGUCAAAUAAAAAUUGCAAGUAAACUAUAUGCAAUUAGAAUUUGAAAAUGCUAAUCCCAACUUAAAUUAAUUUUGUAUGUCAAUCAUACAAGCAAGUUAUCAAACACAAAUUAUAUGCAAUAUACAUAAUUAUUAUUUUUCGGAUUAGCAUUUGUUAGAUUUUAAUCACAAUCAAAUUGGAAUACGCCUUAGAUUGUUGGAGAAAAACCGCAACGAAUAAUCCGAUUGUGACUAGAUCUAACAAAUUUAGUGAUGAAAUUAAUAAAAUCAACUUACCGAUAAUCGCUAAAUUCUAAAAUAUUGUAGAAGAAUAAUGACAAAUAAUUUGAUCCGGAAGCGUGCGAAGCACUGCCCUAAGGCGUAUUCCCGUCCUUCGUGCGGGAUUAACCGAAAACACUGUCCCAAGAUACGACCGGAACUCCUCCUCCUACGAGCACGAACGUAGAAGAGGUUGACGAAAACUUUUUCAACACCCAGCAAUAAAACGAUCAAAUGAAGUGGAUGAAAUUAGUAAAAAGAAAAUUAAAAUUAACUCUUAAAAAGCUAUCCUGUGAAGCUCUCACACAUUCAUUCAUUUACAUGUGUAUGAAGUGCUCUGUCCUCACAUCUUAAAAUACUAUGAACAUAAUUAGAACGUUGGGUCAAACGUUCUUCUUGAAACCGACUCGUGAUGGACGCGCGGACGUGCGCGGAGCGGUGCGCACAGGGAGCCGGUUCGCUCGCCACGCAAACCGAAACUUCUGCAAAAAUAAAUUCUUCAAUUAAUAAUGGAUUAAAUGAAAAACAUAAUAAAGAUUUUGAAUUUUAUUUUAUUAUCAACAGGCUGUUACCUUCCUUCAUCGGCAAGAUGAAUUACAUCUCUUAUUGUCGCUUCUUCUAUCACCGUUUUCUUUUUUUUUGUUGGCUAUUUUUUCUUCACUUAUCUACCCAAUUGCAUUACACUGGUUACUUCACUACUGCUACUUGAUGUGUGUAUGCUAGAAAGUUAUUUUCUUUCUAAAUUGUCAUUGAUAAAAUCAAUAUUAUAUAAAUAUAAGUUAUUUUUAGUAUUUUAAAUUUUAAAAACCAACACACAAUAAACAACGAAUUGUAGAAAGCUAAAACUAAAUGCCUAGUUGCCAAGUGCACAAUGUUGAUUUCAUUAAUAAAUUAACAUUCUAUAAGACCUUUGGGCGUUCAGAAAUAACGAAUAUUAAGAUAAAUUUUUUUAUCUCUAGAAUAAUUUAUUAUUCGAAAUAGUUAAAAAUAAAAGUACAAUUUUAUUUUAUUUGUAAUACUGCUAUUCUCAAGAAUAAUUUAAAUUGCAUUUUGGUUAUUUUAAUAGAAUAGUAGAGGAUAGUUGAAAAAAGUGAUGGUUGAAUUUGGUAUAAAAUAUAUUAUAAAAAUAAUUUAUUUCUUUCAAAUUCUACUUCAACAUUAAAUAUAAAAAAUUAUUUAUUAUAAUAUUUAAGUAUAAUAAAUAAGUACAAAUAUUACGUAUUCAUGUUGUAUAAUUAAAAAUUUUAUAAUAAAAAUAAUUUACUAUAAUAUAUAAUAUAUCAUAUAAUUUAUUUUAGUUCAAUUUAUAAUAUCAAUAAAGCUUAGAAGUAAAUUUUGGAAUAGCACUAUCUAUCCCAAGUUAUUCCAAAAUAAUCUCUAAUUGGGAAUAGCUAGGUUUGUCUGACAUAUUUUAUUCCGGUCAAAAAAUACCCCGAAAUAAUGGGAAUAACUUUUAUUAUAUUCACUUUAUUUCCGAACCAAACAGUGGAAAUAACUUUUGUUAUCUCCACUUUAUUCUCGAACCAAACAAGGUUGCGGUUUUACAAUACAUUUCCUUUUUCAAGUAAGAAUGCAAAUUCCACAUGCAAAAUUGACAAUAUUGCUAGAUGAAUACACCAUGAUUUGAAUCUUCAGUUUCUUGGGUUAGAUGUAAUAUAACCUAUACGGUAGAUAUUAAGACCCUGUUUGGUUCGGGGUAUAAGCAGGGAUAACCAAAGUUAUCCUUGAUAUUCCGUCAAAUGAGAUGAUUUGUAGCCGGGAUAUUUUAUUCCGAUCAACCUUGUUAUUCCCGGCUAUUCCGGAAUAUCUUGGAAUUUACUACUCCACCAUAUUGGUGGAAUAUAUAGUACUAUUCCAAUGUUUAAUUUCAAACUUUAUUAAAAUUAUAAAUUGAAUUAAAACUAAAUUAUAUAAAUAUAAUAUAUUAUAUAUAACAAUAUAUUAUUUUUAUUAUAAAAUUAUUAAUUGUACUAUAUUAAUAAAUAUUAUUUAUAUUUAAAUAUUAAAAUAAAUUUUAUAAUAAAUUAUAUUUAAAUUAUUAUAAUAACUUAUUUUCAUUAAAUUUAAGUUUAAGUAGAAUUUUCAAAAAAUUUAUAAAUUUAUUAAUAAUAAAAGUUUAUAAAUUUAUUAAAAAUUUAGUUUUAGCAAAUUUAUAAAUUUAUCAUAAUAAAUUAUUUUUAUUAAUUGUUCCCGCCCUAUGUCAUGCCCCGGGGUCCCUUUGAUUUUUAAAUUCAAUGCGGAAGUGCCCAAUUAUUAUUAUUUUUUUUUUGAAAGUCUUGACCCCAAGGGAUAUCAGAUUUGCCAUAAAUACAGGAAGCCCACUGUACACACGGACAGUGUCUCCUCUGUAUUUGUAUGGCGUCGCACAAAUACAAGAUACAACCACAGUAUAUAAACAACCAUAUAUAUAUAUAUAUAUAUAUAUAUAUAUAUAUAUAGAGAUAUAUUUAUAUACUUAUAUAUAUAUAUAUAUUAUAUAUAUAUAUUCACCACAUCACAGAGAUCCAUUCACAUUCAUUUCAUCACAAGAUUGCAAUACUUUGAUCAUGAAUCCACAUCUAUUAGUUUAAAACGUUUUCCAUCCGGAAACUCAUUUUGAAAUGCUAAAAUUAUGAAAACCGAAAAACUCUUUUUAAUACCGUUUCGCACACGGAAAUCUUUUCCUUUAAAAUGCUUACCACGAGGGGUAGAAAACCAUUUUCAAUAUUUUUACAUGAAAACCACGAGUACUUUCAUUAACUUCACAAAGCCAUGAACAUUUACUUAAAUGAAACCACUGAACCAUAAAGUGUCUAAGUUAUUUAAUUUCAAUAAGAAGGGAUAGAAAGUAGACCGAAUGUAACCGGGCCGAAAACUCUAUCGACCGCUACAUACGUGCCUCACGCACCGUCCUGACUCGGACCAGCAAUGUCACUUGAAAGGGUGGUAGGGGGGUGAGAACAUGUACACAUGUCUCCUCUCUUAGUGGGUACCGCAAGCCGACGAAGGCAAUGAGUACUCACCGGCAGAAAGAGAUCAACAAAGUCAUAGGUAGAUAUCACAGAUAUAGUAGCUAUAAUGCCGGAAGGAAAGGAAACAGUAAUAGAACAUGCAACUAUCGCUAUUGUAAAAUAGAACAAAAUGCAUACAUGGAUAUCAUAACUAUAGUAGCAAUGAUGCAGAGGUAAACAACAGUGCAAAGGAAUAUAACUAGCCGCUAUUGUAAUACAGAAUAAAGUGCGAGUAUGCAUCAACCGGACGAUUAGUCCCAAAUAUACCUAAUCAGAAACCUGGCAUGACGGUCCACAGACCUCAAGCCUGUGCCACUGCCCCUCUACCUGUAUAUGACCCAGACUAGGCCUCUGGACUCACAGGCUACAUAUAACCCAGACUAGGCCUCUGUGCUCACAGGUUGGCACGUCCAACCACUUUUAUGAAAAAGAACACCCUCUUGCGGUGGAUUAGACCGCUGGUGAUUGGGAAAUGCGAAUGAGUCUCGGGCGAUCUGUAGUACACUAAACUUUAGCAAAUUGCGAAGUUUGAGUGUUAGAAUAGUAAUUAGAGCUAUUUUAUAUCUUUUGAGAGGUUGUCAAGAGGUUUUCGGCAAGUUACUUGAGUGAUCAAAUGGCCGGAAGAGCAAAAGUGCAUUGAAGCGGCGAAAUUCUGCAUUUUGCACUGAGUACCAGUACCAACUUGCCCUAGUAUCGGUACCUAGCACAACAGCUGCAUGGAUUAAAGGGUUAUUUGGUAAUUUCACUCUAACCCUUAUCCUUUGACCCUCCUAGCUCGACCCCUGAGCCUGUUCUUAUUAGGAUUGAGCUGAAGAACAGGGUAAGACUUGCUCUCUCUCUCUCUCUCCAGGGUUUUGGGGUUUUUGUGAGUGGAAUUGAGGAUUUAAGCUUGUUUUUGUUAAGUCUUGUGUGUUGGCAAGUUUCAUGAAGUGAGUCGGAGUCUUGAUGGAUCGGUGCGGAUCAUCAAAGAUUGAAGAAUUCAAGACUUCGAGGAAAGUGGAAAUAACUCACGACGUGAAUCACGAUGCUCAGGUAAAGUUUUAAUUCAUGUUAUGGUGAUUCAUACUUAAUUGUAGGCACUAGAAUCAUAUACUCAAAGUUUAUUGGAUUAGAAAGUGCAUCGGAACUUGCGAAACUCAAAACUGUGGAAAAAUGAGGAAAAUGCAAAGUGUACCGGUACAGUAUUGAAAGUGUACCGGUACAAAUUGUGUUCCAGUAAAACCAGCGACUUGUCACCGGUUAUAGCGUUUCACAGGUUUUCUCUUCCGUCAUCGUGUAACCGGUAACAGCUUAAAAGUGUACCGGUACACAAUGUAAAAAUCUAAAAAUAUUUCAAAUCCGACUCUAAUUGAUUUUAAAGUCUAUAAAUAAGCUAUUGGGGUUCUCUAACAGAUAAAGGAUCAUAAGAAUACAUAUUUGAGAAACCCUAGAGGCUAGGAUUUCGUUCAUAACCUAUUUUCUUCAUAAUAACCUCUUUUAGGUCAAAUCGAGAGAUUGUAAUUUGAUAUCAAUUUGUCGAUUUGAUCUACUCUUCGCUUGGAGUUCUCUUCCCUGGUUUUCAUCGAUACUCUAAGCGAAGGAUGACCAUACACAUGAUGUUCUUCAUUGAUGGUGUCGUGGAUUCGGCGUGAUUGAAGGUGGUUCGUGGAUUCGGAUCGUGAGCUCGUGGAUUCAAGUGGCGUUCGUGGAUUCAGACGUGUACGAGGCGUUCAUGGAUUCAAACAUGAGGGCGUGGACAACCCGGAGGAUUGUGUGAGAUUCGUAAGAGGUUAAGAGAGGUCGAGUCCGUAGAGUCGAUAAUCACCUUGUAAUCUUUUCUCUUAGUGAAUUAUUUUUUCGCGUGUUGGUCCCGUGGGUUUUUCUCCAAGUUGGAGUUUUCCCACGUAAAUAUUGGUGUAAUUUUUAUUUUCCGCAUUUACUUUUAUUGCAUUGAGAUUUGUGAUUUUUGACUGUUACACCUAUUCACCCCCCUCUAGGUGUUGGAUACAAUUUAGAUAGAUCCUUAGGCACUCCAAAACUUUCAAUUGGUAUCAGAGCGGGAUCUAGAUAAAUUGCUAUCUAAUGGCCGAAGGCGGUAACAUUAAUCGACCAUCACUCUUCGAUGGCAUGAAUUAUGCCUAUUGAAAAAUUCGCAUGAGAGCUUUUCUAAUUCCAAUCGAUGAGCGAGUUUGGCAAUUUAUUGAAUUCGGAUGGAAACAUCCAACCAAAGUCGUCGAUAAUGCUACCGUUCCUAAACCGCGAAACAAGUGGAUGAAAGAUGAAAACGAGUCAUCUUCAUUUAAUGGCAAGGGCACAAACGCUUUAUUUAAUGCUUUGUCACAAACAGAGUUUACUCGCGUUUCGGCGUGUAAUACCGCCAAGAAAAUUUGGGAUACUCUACAAGUUACGCAUGAAGGAACUAGCUUGGUAAAGGUUCAAAAAUUACAAAUGUUGACAAGCAAAUUUGACUCGAUUUUAAUGGAAGAAAAUGAGACCUUUACUGAGUACUAUACUCGACUUCAAGACGUUGUUAAUACAUGCGCUAACUUGGGAGAGAAAAUUCCGGAUUCUAAUAUUGUUUGAAAAAUUCUUCGGACUCUUCCGGAACGCUUUUGGGCAAAAGUUGCCGCAAUCGAAACCGUAAAGCAUCCGGACGAGAUGAAAGUCCAAGAGUUAGUAAGUGCUUUGCAAAUUUAUGAGAUGACUUUUUAUACUAACCAAUCUUCUUCCAAGUCUUCUUCUAAAAGUACGGGGGUUGCACUCAAAUCGACAAAGAAAGAAGACGGCGACUCGGAUUUCGACGGAGAUAUUUCGCUCACCAAUUUCGAACAUCAAUUAGCGCUCCUAACGAAGAAGUUCCGACGAAAUUUUCGGAAGAAUAAAUUGGACAAGGCUUCAUCGUCUAAGCAACAAUCUUUUUCUAAAUCAUCUUCAUCUUCUAAAUCUAAGGAUAAAAACUUUGCAAAGUCUUCGAAAGAAAAAAAUGAAUUUGAAGGGAAAAUCCAAUGUUACAAGUGUAGAAGCUACGGUCAUAUUGCAACGGAUUGUCCCUCUAAGAAAUCAUAUACAAAGAAGGCUUUGCAAGCUAAAACUUGGGAUGAUUCAUCUUCAAGUGAAUUAAGUUCAAGUGACGAAGAAAAGAAUGAUCAUAUUGCUUUAAUUGCUAAUAAUUCUUUGUCUUUAUCGAAUGUUAUGUGUUUAUCCUCUAUUGUUACGAACUCUAGUGUUUCGCCUUCCUUACAUGGGUCUUCGAACGACAAUGGAGAAAGCGAGGAGGAAUCAAACAACGAGGAUAUAGCGGAAGCGUAUCAUCAACUCCUCGUUGAAUCCAAAAAGAUGGCGAAGCACAAUAAAAAAUUGAGGAAGCGUCUACUUGAACUUGAAGAAGAAAACAACAAGUUGAAGACAAUGAAGAAAGCUAUCGAGGAGGAAAGGGAAUCAAAUUUGAAAGAUCGUUCAAUCCUCCAAGAGAAGCUUGAUGAAGCGGAAUCAACGAUCAAAUCCUAUAAAGAUAAAGUUGGAUUUUUGGAGCAACAAUUUGAGGAAUCGUACACAUCUAACAAGUCCUUGACCGAUCAAGUUCGUCAACUCCAAUCCGAUAUUCAAAAAUUUUCUUCGGGAUCGAAGAAAUUGGAUCAUAUGCUCGGAUUGGGUCAAACGAACAAGGUAGGACUCGGAUACAAAAGGACUUACGUUGAGAAGGAUUCAAAAUCAACUCCUAAAAUCUCAACAAAUUCAGAUGAAAAGGUGUGUCAUCGAUGUGGCAUCAAAGGACACAUCAAAAAAAGUUGCCCGAACAAGACAAAGAAGAAUCAAUCGGCAACUUCUAAUCGUCAAGUGGCACCCUCUACAACUCGACUUCCCCCACGGAAUCAAAAGAAAAAUCAAGUUCGUCGAGUACCACAAGCAAAUCGGAUUCCUAAUGCGCAAUGUGAAGUCCGAACGAAGCCUCAAGAGAACCGGAAUUCUAAAUCUCACCGGCAACUUCAGUUGAAGUCACCUACAAUGAAGCAAUCUACGAUGGAUCAAAAAUCAAAGCAAACUGUACCAAAUGUCGACAACCCAAGACAACCUACUAUCCAACAAGUGUGGAUCCGGAAAGGUGAUAUCUUUCCUUGUUCUUUGUCUUAAGUUUGUUUUGAUUGAUUAUGUAAUGCUUUGUUUUGUGCUUAUUGCAUAUUUGUAUUCAUUGCAUUACAUGUUUGGACGAUUUUUGGUGCUUGAAUUUAUUUGUUUAAAAAUCGUUUUGAGGAAAGGUGUUUGGGAGAUUAAAAACUUUCUUUGAAAAAGGAGAUGAUUGAAAAUCAUUAUUUUGGGGAGAUUAAACUUUUCAAAGUGCUUUAAACGGUAUUUAACUUCACAUUCAUAUUAUGUUAAAUUCAUAUUAAUUAUCGGUUUUACUCCACUUUUUAUUAUUUUGACGAUAAUUUAUUAUAUGAAUUCUUAAUACAUAUAGUCAACAAAAUUUUGAAAUAAAAUUUGAUCUCUUGGUGAUUAAUUCAUCUUGAUUGUGUGUGUUGGAUAUGAUGGAUGGAUAUUCGCUAAUAGACCAAAAUUUGUCAAAAUUAUUUUCAAUUGUGAGAUUGUCUAAUUUAGGGGGAGUUUGAAGUAUUUAAAAAAAAAAAAAGAAAAAGAAAAAAAAACUCCUAUGUUUAAAAGAUGUGAAAAGAGUUACAUCUAAAAUGAGUGUGAAAACUACCACCACGUGUAGGAAAGAGCUACCACCCUGAUCGUCCGGUAAGUGUAUGAAGCUACCACAUGACAAAUUUUUUUGAAUAAUCGAAAAUGUUUGAAAAAUUGAAUAUGUUAGGUUUUUCGGUGUUAUAAGGUGGUAGGAUGAAAAUAUGCUCAAUAUAACGUAUCGAAAUCCGGAAGAAAUUGUCGAACUUUAGCCAAAUUGGUUAAAGUUGUCGAAGGAAAAGUUGGACAAGUUCCAAUUGGCAUUCCAACAAUUUUGGAAGGGCUAAAAAUGAGUUUAAGAGCUGUUAGAAAGAUUUUAGCAUCGAACGUCGCAAAACUGCAUUCUGGAGCAAAGUGCACCGGUACAACCAGCGAGUUGUCACCGGUACAGCCCUGCAGCCCGAGAAGAGUAAGCUCUCGGGUUUGAGAAAAAUUGGGCCAUGUGAAACAAGACAGUGGCCAAUGUGCUAAUGCGUCUCUCGUUGGGCUCUCGAAUGAGCUGAGCCGACGACUCGAUAUCUCGAGUGAGCCGAAUCGACGACCUGUCAUCUCGAAUGAGCCGAGCCGUUAAAAACAGUCANCGUGAGUGUGUUACCGGUAACACCUCUGGUGUGUACCGGUACACUUUGGUAAAACCCGAAUAGCAGCUCUUGGGUUGUCUCUGCGUGAUCGUGUUACCGGUUACACCCCAAGUGUACCGGUACACUUUGGGCUGACAGCACAGAAAUAAUCUGCUACAAUUUUGGAGGGUUGGGGGGUUUUGUGGCUAUUGUUACACACUAUAAAAUAACCCAACCCUCUCCCCCUCACAACAAAAUAGAAAUCCUCCUCUUCUCUUUCAUUUUCUCUCCCUUUCUCUCUAGAGACUCUCCACCAAGGCUAGAGGUGGUGAGUUGGAGGAGUUUUAGAGGUGAUUUUGGAGGAUUAGAGGACCUAGAAGCUCUCAUACAAGGUGGAUUUGGAGGAGCUUGGGCUAAGGUAAGCUCUCAUGCAAGGAUACAUCUAGGGUUUGGAUUUCUACCCUAAGAUCUAGAGUUUUGAUCUUCUUGCAAGCUUUAGAACAUUGUAGAGACUUAGAAACACAUGAAAUCCAUGGUUUCUUUAAGGUGCUCUAAUAGUGGAUUUUUAGGGUUUGUUCUAAACACCCUAAGAAUGGUUCAAAUGGUUUAUAAAUGGUAUUAGAGAGUUUCCUAGGUGAUUCUAAACUAAUCUUUGCUUAGGGAUGAGAUCAAUCUAGGGAAAUGGCAAGACGACAUUGUCAGGGCACCAAAAUUUGGAGCUUUUGUCGUAGAUGGGUUUAAAUGUAAAUUGACCCUAUGUAAACCUAAUUGAAGGUAUUUCGGACGCGUUGGUGAAGUCGGUUCGACGAUUCGUCGAGCCUACGCGAAGUUAUUGAAGAAACAGAUCAUUAAAGCUUCGUUUUCUCCUGGAGGGCCGAGGCGACGUCCUAAAAUCAUGAAAACGGAAUCGUGAGCUUGUGGCAACUAACCGUAAACCUUUAAUUUUCGGAUCGUGAAUUGGAGGCCGUUCGGGUGAUCGCGUGAGAGUUCGGGCCGAACCGGGUCACGGGUGCCUCGGGAGGCCGAUUACAAGUGACUACCAGCAAUCGGAGAGUAAGUUAAGGUGGGUUGUAUUUACCGAAGUGACUAGGUCGCCUGUAUGUCUAAGAUGAGUGUUUAUCAUUGAUGCAUAUUAUGGUAGCUAGUGGUAGAAUGUAUAAAUACAUGAAAUGAAUACUAUAUGGGCCACCAAAUAGUGCAGGAUAACAUAGUGUGAAUAAUGCUAGUGGAAAGCAUAAAGUAAAUGACAUAUGUGUGUUGACGUAUAGAGAACUAUGUUAAAUGACAUGUGCAUGUGGACAUAUAUAUAUAUAUAUAUCGAGUGGCAUUGAACCUAGUGUCAAGGACAUAGGUUGAGUAAGAGUAAUAUUGAACCUAGUGUUAAUAAACAUAGGUUAAACAAGUGUGGCACCGAACCUAGUGUUAAUAAACAUAGGUCGAACAAGAGUGGCAUCAAACCUAAUAUUAGAGAGCAUAGGUUGAGAUUAAACCUAGAAUUAAGUCAACCUAGGUUGUGAGAUAAAGAUAGUGAACCUAGAGUUAAAGUAACUUAGGUUAUGUGAUAAAAGUGUUAAACCUAGAGUCAAGUGGACCUAGGAUGGAAAGGAUGAUGGACCUAGAUAGGUGGAUACUAUGGGGUUAAGACCAACCCCUGAGUUAUAUGAAAUGGAUUCCGGAAUCCCAGAGCUUAUGGAUCACACCCAGAGUGGUGUUGGGCGUGUGAGACGAUUUCGCCGCCCGGGGCUAAACCAUUGACGUGGCGUGUGCAACGAUUUCGCCGUCGGAUGGUUAAGCUGGUUUGUGGAUUAGGCCGCCAGGUUUGACUUGAGCCAUUGUUGGGUGAGGUGCGAUUAGUUCACCGCCAGAUGGCUAAGUCAAGGGACUUGAACCAGUGUUUGGCGUGUGCGACGAUUUCGCCGCUAGCUGGCUAGGUCAGAGAGGGCGGUAGGCUAAUGAGCAGCUAGAGCGCGGAUUAUCUGCAGUUGAUUGACUUAAGACUGAGUCGGGUAGCAUAGAUGGCUAAGGUAAAGGUAACCUUAUGAAAGAAUCGCCAAUGACCAUAGUGUGGCAAGGAAAUAAAGUAGAGAACGACUAAUGAAUAACAAUAGCUAGUAAAAGUAAAGAAUGGCUACAAGUAAAGAAUGGCUAAGAAUAUAAGGUAGAAUCAAUUUAUCUACUUGCAUGAGUUACAGGAUUUGCAUAUUGCAUAUUGUGAGGCAUAGCAUGUUUUUCCUUAUUUGUAUAUAUCUGUUGGACUAACAUGUUACAGUGCCUCCUUGGACUUAUUGGUCGAGCUUUUUCCUUGGGUGGCCGUACCCACUGGGAAUCAUGGAGUUGGUUUUCACCCCACGUUAUUUUGGGGUGUUAUAGGUUUGCACGUGAGCGGCGCGGUGGCGCGAGGCAAGGGCGUAGCUUCGUAGAUAGCGGCCCUACCUCCGAAACUGAGAUAGCGGUACCCCGAGGUGGUCUAGCUUAGGGGUUUGAAGACAAAGAAACAAACUUGUAAUAAAUUGGUAAAAGAGUUUGAUUGUAUUGGAAGUCGAAUGUAAAAGUAAUUGUGAUGUAAAAUUCACCUAACAUGAAUGCUGUAAUAACUUAGUUGUUUUAUGUUUCGAUACUUCCUUAUGCAAUUUUUGGUUGAAUUCGGUUCCUGGUUGGAACAUCGUGAAUUGUAUCGAUUGCGACGCCUUGGACGUACAGGGGAGACUCUGUCCGCGGUACAGGAAAACCCUGUCCGUUCGGCGGUCUGUUGGCGUGCCCGAACCCAACCAAAUAAGCGGGGCACGGGGCGUGACAGUCAAAGAGCCACCCCCGGUGUCAUAUUAGUUAAAUCUCUAUUUUGAACGACUUGCGACAAAUGGAAGUCAAUUUUGCCGAAUUUCUAAAAAUUAUUUUUCAUUAACCGUUACAUCUGGAUGAUUUUGAAACACUAGAUUAUUUUUUAUUUCCAAAUUUUGAUGUUUCGAUGUAGUUUGAAAUCCUAUAAUAUUUUAUCUUCAUCAGAAUGAUUUUUGGAGUACAAUCUUUAAUUUUUAUGAAAUUAAUUAGAUUUUGAAGGAUUUUUGAAGGAAAAAUUCACAAUUUUCGAAAUCUGGCAAAGUGUAUCGGUACAAAAUACCGUAUACCAGUACAAAUUACUGUAGACCGUGUUAUUAUAACCGGUUACAGCAUUCGGUUUUUCCCCGAAACACAAUCAAAACUUCUCCUCUCUCUCUCUAAAAAGCCCCAGCAACCUUCUCCUCCAGAUCCAAGUGUUUUUCCCAAAGAUUUGUAAGUAUUUUGCUAAAAUUUGAAGAUCUAAUCCCGGUUUUUGCUAUUUUUUCGAAAAAUUUCGAGUUAAAGCAUGAUCUCUGUUUUAAUUCAUUUUUUAUGCAAUUUUUUUGCUGUGAAUCAGUGUUUAGACAUAUAUUCUUACUUCUAGAACACUUAGAUUAGGUUAUAAUGCUAUAUUUUUUGCUGAUCUAUUAUCCGUACCUCUAUAUACCUGGAAUUUCGUGAUUUUUUAUGAAAAUCAAUUUUUGAUGAAAAUUUUUGCAUGAUUUAGUUAGAAAUAGAAUUGUUAUUCAUUCUAAUAUUAUUAGAAAUUUUUAUGCUAUUUUUACAGAAUUUUUUGAAUUUUCUUCAUGCAAGGCUCAUUUUUUUAUGUAGGAAAAAUGGCGUUCUCGUUCGUGGUGCUGCUGUUGGUGCUAAUGGCCACUGGUCGUGGUCGAGGACGUGGUCGAGGCCAUCGAGGGGCCUCCAAGAGGACUCGUACUGCAGGCGAGUCGUCCGGGGCUGAUCCAGAUUACCAAGCGAGCUCUCCGGAGGAUACUGAAGAACCGAUUGCUCCAACUGACAAAGGGAAAGGCAUAGCUGGAGAAUCAUCACGCGGAGGUGGCUCUCGUGCAUGAGAGAGUCACUCAAAGCAAGCCGCGGAUGUUCCACCGGAGCGGCGGAGGACGUUCUCGAGCAGGUCAUGCAUUGCAGAGAGAUAUGUCAACUUCAACGAACUCAUCCAGGAGGUUCCAGAGUUUGGACGGUUAUUCCACUGUCGACUGGUGCUACUGACGUUGGAGGAUUUGGAGUUGGAGCAGACGAUGAUGAUGAUGAUGAUGAGGACACCGAGUGACGUCAUCUUCGAGCUUUGUUUUUCUACUUUGCUUAUUAGGAUGAUGUUUUAGUUUUUGCUUUGCUUAUCUUUGCAUUUUCUUUAGGCCUGUAUCUAUGACAUGACUACUCUUAUGUUUUCUAGUUGAUUUUCUCUCUAUAUACUUUCUUUUGACAAUUUUUGACAAAAAGGGGGAGAUCAUAGAUGAACAGGUAUUGAUCGAAGCAGGGGAAAAAGAACUCAUCAACAAAGGGGGAGAAGUGAUCGAGGACAAUGAUAAUGAGAUAAUGACAUUGAAAGGUAUAAAAGUCCAAUGGUUUCAAAUUAAGAUAUCAUCUUUGGAUAAAUUGUUUUGCAGGAAAUCAAGACUUCAAGACUCUUAGUUGCAUCUAAGUCAUAGAGUCUGUUUUAGGAGUUUUGAUAUAUUUUUGAGUUUCAUAUUAAUAUUGUAUUUGGACUACAUGCGAGGUGUUCAAUGUUUUGGUGAUAACAAUUGAACUUCGAUUCUUAUUAUGUAAUUUUGAGUUUGUGAGUUUUGUCACGAAAUUGCCAAAGGGAGAGAUUGUUAAGUCUUGUGUGUUGGCAAGUUUCGUGAAGUGAGUCGGAGUCUUGAAGGAUCGGUGCGGAUCAUCGAAGAUUGAAGAAUUCAAGACUUCGAGGAAAGUGGAAAUAACUCAUGACGUGAAUCACGAUGCUCAGGUAAAGUUUUAAUUCAUGUUAUAGUGAUUCAUACUUAGUUAUAGGCAUUAGAAUUAUAAACUCAAAGUUUACUAGAUUAGAAAGUGCAUCGGAACUUUGCGAAACUCAAAACUGUGGAAAAAUCAGGAAAAUGCAAAGUGUACCGGUACAACAUUGAAAGUGUACCGGUACAAAUUGUGUUCCGGUACAACCAGCGACUUGUCAUCGGUUAUAGCGUUUCGCAGGUUUUCUCUUCCAUCAUCGUGUAACCGGUAACAGCUUAAAAGUGUACCGGUACACAAUGUAAAAAUCUGAAAAGAUUUUCAAUCCGACUCUAAUUGAUUCUAAAGUCUAUAAAUAAGCUAUUGGGGUUCUCUAACAGAUAAAGGAUCAUAAGAAUACAUGUUUGAGAAACCCUAGAGGCUAGGAUUUCGUUCAUAACCUAUUUCCUUCAUAAUAGCCUCUUUUAGGUCAAAUCGAGAUAUUGUAAUUUGAUAUCAAUAUGUCGAUUUGAUCUACUUUUUGCUUGGAGUUCUCUUCCCUGGUUUUCAUCGAUACUCUAAGCGAAGGAUCACCGUACACAUGAUGUUCUUCAUCGAUGGCGUCGUGGAUUCGGCGUGAUUGAAGGCGGUUCGUGGAUUCGGAUCGUGAGCUCGUAGAUUCGAGUGGCGUUCGUGGAUUCAGACGUGUACUAGGUGUUCGUGGAUUCGAACGUGAGGGCAUGGACAACCCGGAGGAUUGCACAAGGUUCGUAAGAGGUUAAGAAAGGUCGAGUCCGUGGAGUCGGUAAUCACCUUGUAAUCUUUUCUCUUAGUGAAUUAUUUUUUUUGCGUGUUGGUCCCGUGGAUUUUUUUCCAAGUUGGAGUUUUUUCACGUAAAUCUUGGUGUGAUUUUUAUUUUCCGCAUUUUCUUUUAUUGCAUCGAGAUUUGUGAUUUUUGGUCGUUACACCUAUUCACCCCCCUCUAAGUGUUGGAUAUAAUCUAGAUAGAUCCUUGGGCACCCCAAAACUUUCAGUUUUCCUCUCCUCUCUUGGUGCUUGCUAGUUUGGAAGGUGUGGAGCAGCUGUGGAAGAGUGGAAAAGGAGUCUUGGGAGAGGUAUUUCGUAACCCUAACUCAGUAGGAAACUGAGUUGAAGUUUGGUAAGGUAAGCUAUUCAACUUCUUUUUAGUUGAUGCUAUAGUAGUGUAGUUGAUGUUGGUUCUUUGUUCCUUAUUACCAGCUGGUUUGGGAAGGUUUAAAACAGCUAUAGAGGAGUUGUUUUGUUGAGAUUCUUCAACCUAAAACCAGGGAAAAGCUAAGUUGAAGCUUUAGAAGGUGAUUAGCUAACUUCUCUCUUGAGUUGAUGCUAUAAUAGUUGUAGUAGUAAAAGUAGUGGUGCUGUUUUUGGUGUUUGCUCACAGCAGGGUUGUGAACCACUUUGGAUGAGUUUGAGUUGUCCAUGUAGAUCAGUUUUGGUGUACUUCAACUUGAGUUGGAGCUGUGUAAGGUGAACAAUCUAACUCCUUUAUAGUUUUGAUGUGUUGAUAGUAGUAUAAAGGGGUUUAUGGUCUAUGUUCGCAGCAGGUUCGCAGCAGGUUCGCAGCAAGUUUGAUGAUCACCUUGAGCUAAGUUUGGGGUGAUUCUUGAAGGCUGGAUUUGGUGUGUUCCAACCUGAAGUGGAGUGGAGUUUAAGUUUGGAUUCUAAUCGAAGUGAGAUUCUAGCCUUAAUUAUGUGAUUAUGUGAGGUUUUAUGUGAAAGCUUGGUGAAGCUCCUAGCUGAUUUUAGAAUACUUACCAGGGUGCUUGGAGGCUUCGAAUUACCUUCGUUGGAGGAAUCGACGAGAGUCGACAGCGAUUUGGUGGGUUUGACUUUACCAUAAUAGGUGAAUUCCCUCUAUAUCUUCUUGGACAUUAGGAAAUUGGAAUUGUUGCAUAUUCAUGUGAAUUUAUGUAUAAUUGAAUGAAAUGGGGCAUGCAUCAAUAUGCAUCUUAUAUUGAGCAUAAUGGAACCUCUAUGGAGUAGAUGAAAGAUUAUAAAAUUGCUUAGCCUACAUAGAUUGUUUGCUCGGUUAAUAUGUAUCCAUGACAUUAGUAAACUUUUGUAGACAAGUUAAGUAUGACAUCAUUCAAUAGGGUAUAGCCGUAAAGCUAUGAAUAUGACAUUUGGACAACUAAGUGAAUGAUGUAUUAUGAUGUUGUAUCUUUGAGUUAACUCAUGCGGUUUCAUGUGUUAGACAUGAUGACAGGACUUCUAGCAUAUUAUAUAUAUAAUGGAGUUACAUAAGUAUACAUUCAUAUUGUGGAAUGGCUUGUGUAGAGAUCAUGCGUAAAGUAUCUUAUAUGAUGUUUUGCCUACUUUUGUUAAUAAGUGAUUAUCGUUUUCAUAUAGCAGAAAUGGCAUGAAUUUGACGUUCUUACAUUUAACCUAGUUGGGUAACUAUAUACUAUUGAAUAGAAUCUAGUUAAAUAACUAGAAUUGGAUAUGAGGAUAUACAUGUGUAGUCAAGUAGAAGUAAUUACAUAUUACUUGUUUACUCUCAGUAGUGGAGGUUUAUGUAGAACUAUAGAAUAUGUGUCAUGAGUUAUUUGAACACCAGAAUGAGUCAUUGGAUAUGACCUUGGUAAACCACUUUCCUUAAGUAUAAGGAGUAGUGAGAGGACUAUAUGUGAGUAUGCGGGUAUAGCCCGUUAGAAUCAUCUAUAUGAUGUAAACCAUAUACUUGUUUAAGUCAUACUAACUAUUGAUAGAAUUGUGUCACCAAGUAGUUAAUAGUGGAAUUUGAUUUAUUGUUAAUUGUUGACCUUGUGUCAAAAAGGAAUUCCAUGUUAGAGACAUGAUGAACUUGUGAAUGCUAUACUAUGAGUUAAGCUUGCUUGCCAAUAUGCUCAUUCGCACAUGCUUGUGAGGGUCGCGCCCCACAAGCCGGCACUCCGGAGUUGGCCUAUGUGACAGAUUGCUCGCUUAUGUACGAGACUGAGCACCGAAUUGGAUUGCCGUGGGUAGUGUUGACUUCCACGGGCCAUUAGGCACGACACUAGCUUGGACUUUACCAUGAGUAAGUCUCCUGUUAAUUGGGUUACUACAGUGAACUUAGACCUAGAUAGACCUAGUAGUAAAAGUACUUUAUGUCAGUAGUUGAGAUAUACCUAGUAAUGAACAUACUAGAUGGUUGGCAUUUCUGUUAGUCAUUAGUUGUAAUGACAUUACCUGUAGGAUUACACUCCGAUUAGUAUAGGAAGGUAGCUGCAUGUUGUUAUUAUCUUGUUGAACUACGAUCAUAGAAUCCUACUUUAAUUGGCAUAUAGUUAAAGAUGAGCAAAUUGGUAGCUACAUGACAUACAGAAUUGGUAUACAUGAUAAGUACUAUAUAAUACAUGUUAGAAAGCAUAUCUUGUUGAGGCAUGUUAUAAUUGAAUGAUUUCAUUUACUUAUUGCAUUUACUUCUCGCACCUAUUAUAGUUUUAUUCAUGCCUCAGUUGACUUAGUGGUGUACUUCGCCACUCUCGGCGGCUUACCCACUAGGAACUAUUAUUUAAUAGUUCUCACGCCCUUUUGUUGGUUGUUUUUGUGCAGAGCCUUCCACAACGGGAAAGGUUAGGGUUCCUAGCAAGGGGUUAGUGGCUAGCUAGAGCCUCCUCGAUGUUAAAUAGAUGGAACCGUACCAGCUUUUCUAGUUUAGUUUAGUAUCGUAUAUUGGAACUAUGUAGAAUGUAUUUUGUACUUUGGUUUUAAGCUGUAAUAGGGUUUUGUGGUUGUAUAAGCUUAUGAACUUUUAGUUUUGCUCUGAUUACCUAAUUAGAAUACUAUGCUUUUGCUAUGUUGAUUGUAGACGCCUGGUGUACACUUAAGGUUGUGGUGUACACGGCGGGACUGUGCACGUGACUGGUGAGCUUUCGCUGAAGUCCAGGGCAUGACACAAUCAAUACUGAUAUGCUCAAUAGCCAACCAUCGGCAACUAGCCGACAAUCUUACCCCUCAGGGUAUGUUGACCGUAUAGGAGUAUCGACCACUCAGGCCAACUAGGAUGGAACAAUUCAACAUCCUUCCGAAGAUAUGAAAGUAUCGACCACUCAAUGUCAACUAACAGAUAUGCACAAGAACCGACAAAUAGGUCACAAUACGAGAUACAAGAAACCGACCGACUAGGUCACGAGAAUGUCAAAUCAUGGAUCAAUGUAAUCUAUAAUCAUCCUUCGGCAACUAGCAGACAAUCCUACCCCUCAGGGUAUACCAACCUCAUCGAUCAUCAAACAACAGGAGUCACAGAACCAAUCGAAUAGGUCACUACAUAUAGUCCACUCUACUUCUAAAUCAUGAUGAUAAAUACGAAAAGUAACCAAGUAGAGCAGUAAGUACGAAGUCAAAGGGUGCUAGUCUCAUAACAUGAUAUGCAAGGUAAUAAAAAGAGGGUGGAGAGAACGUCACCGAGCAUGUACCACUGUACCGACUUCAGAUCGAAGUACCCACCCGUACGUAUAUGGCACUGGUCUCUUGACUGCGGAAAAAGUAUCAACCGGACCUACGAAGGGUCCACCGGGUUAGUAUUCAACCCACACAAAUGAAACACUAACUCACAGUCCAAUCUAUAACCCAUAGGAAUCGGUUUCCCAAAACCGAUUACCGUAACUCGCCGGAAGUCCCGAAAAUUGCACCGGGACAUCGUCGGGACCCCGAAAUGUCCCGGGACUCACCGACUCGUGCCACAAGUCACCCGCUGCCACCCAACACAAUAAUUUGUGUGACCUGGCAGAAAACACAAGAUCACACCUCCAAACAAUUAUCGUCGGAUAAUCGUUCGAAUCCGGGUUCUCGGAAGUGUCUAUUUCGACACCGUAACCCACCAUUGCCCACCCGUCAUCUCCAAACUCAUGAGAUGACUAUUGUGACCAGCCAACAAGGCUCGGCGACAAAACAUAACUCGCCUUAGCACUGUCGGAAGAAAUUCGAACUGAAACCGCGUUCCGUUGGCGAAUUUCGCCAAAAAACGCAUCGAAAAUCGAUACCCGAUUUUCGUAAAAGCCUCGAACCUUGGACAACCAGUCCAGAGGUCACCCGCUGCCCACACACACUUCCCACAGGAGCCACGAAGCAUAAAUUGUAUAAAAGUCCCAGUGAUCACCUAAAAUCACAUUAUUUUAUGUGAUUUUCAGGGUUUUUACGGCCUGAUAGCGCAAAUCGAGGAUUUUCAAGCCUUGCCGAGACACACGCUGAUAGCUCUCGAUGUGCUGGAGGUCGUGCUCAUGAUUCGGAGCAUGGCCGUCCACUGUGGGAGGCGUGGGAGCUACUAGAAGUUCAGCAAACACUGCGCGCUGAGACUAAAACACGUCUAAUUCUGCAAUCUGGGGUUCGUUGACCCUAAACGAGGCGAGCACUGUGAUCAGCACUAACCAACGAUCACCAUACGCACCUCCGAGGACGUCGGAACAGUCUCGGGUCGUCAGAACAAAGAUCCGAAAAGGAAACAGUGUGCAGACAGCUUACUAAAAGCAUACCGGGCAAGGUGGGGCUAGGGCACGGUCGGCGGCGGCCCGGCGGUGGGAGGACUGGUGGCAGGCGGGCGCUGGCAACGUAGGGAGGCCAGGGCACGUGUCGGCUGGCGACGGAAGACGGUGGCGGUGGCCGACAAUGAUGCCCUAGCCGCGCGGUUUGAUGGAGAGCUUGGCUUCAGCUCGGCCGGUAGGGGCCUCCGCCGGCGGGAUCGCCGGCAGCAACCGGGUGCGGCCGACCGGGAAGGACCGGCGCUUACGCCGGCCGGCGGCGGGAGGCGGCGGUAGUGGCGUUAGGAGAAGCUGAGCCCGCACGGCCCUAUCUCGAGCUCAUAUUGCUUCUCCAGCCACGGCAAUGGCCGGAGCGGGCAAGGGAGGGGCGCGGCCUUCACCUGGAGCCCAGAGGAGGAAGCGGAGACGGCGGUCGGCAAUUGAGAAGGCGGCGCGGCCAGGCUCGGCCGUACCAGCCCGAGCUAGCAGCGUGCCGCAGUAUCCGCGACGGUGGAGCUCGGGGGCGGCUGUGGCCGCUCGGGGGAAGUCGACAAAGGUCAAGGCGCAGAAGGAGAGCCCAAGGUGUGGGAUCACCUGCCUAGCUCUCAAGUAGAGAGGGGGAUGGGUUGGUGGCAAAUGUGAGUGGGAGAGAGGGAAAAGGUUGGUCGAGGAGCUGGUUGGUCGACCGGAGCUCAGUCGAAGGUGGCCGGGGAGCGCGCGGCACACGAGGUUAGUGAGGAGCGGCGGCUGGGAGUCUGAUGGAGCUAGGGCAAGGGUUUUCUUGGAAGAAAACCCUAGUUAGCUCAAUAUAUAAAUGGCGACAACUUGCAGUUUAACCCACCAAAGAUUGAUAUUUUCAACUGAGUCCCUCACGGCACGAGUAAAUCGCGCGGAUAUACCUCCAUGCCAAAUUUCACGUAAAACGGUAUAUAAAAUAUAGGGUGUUUUGCAAAAUUACCAUUUUGCCACUUAUGACCCCUCCUCGAUCAAAGUGCGAUAUCAGGAGAUCCGUCCGUCAUAUUUGCGAACGGAUCGCACCAAUGCGAUCAGAACGACUGAGACAUCAAACUCACUAUUUUGUUUCACCAAGUUCAGUCGCGGAUUUGUGACGAAACCCAUUCUCUCUCCAAUAAGAAAAACCACACACAAAUACAUAGAAUAUAUGUGUAUAUAGUUUUCUCGAAAUCUCUGCGUCAAACCUGAAAUCCGUCAGCGCCACUAGAUCCAAGACAGUCAAACCAUUGAAAAUGAGCUAUUGGAUCACUAUGAACGGAGUCUGAUAUGCACCAGAAGCCAUCUCCACUGAUCGGCCUCUCCGGAAAAUUGGAGUUAUUCACUUUAAGUGAUUAGUAAUGAUCGCGUAACUUCUCCAUUCUAACUCGUUUUCUCCUGAAACUUGACGAAUGCUUAUGUAAUUAAAUUACACACGAAAACAUCUUCAACAACGAGUUUAGCUACAUUGUCAAAUUUUCAGUACUCAUAUUAUCCUCCCCUUAAAGGAAGUUUCGUCUCCGAAACUUCACUAUGCACCGGCCGUAAUCAAAUUUGGAUACCAAACUGCUAUUUUGGUUCCUCCUUCAAGUUUUAAUGAUACUCCCAAUUCAAAAUCUUUUAGCCUUGAAUCUGGAUAGAUCAACUUCCGAAGUAGGGGAGAACUGCGGUUCCACCUGGACGAGACGAGUGAAAACAACUAAUCCAAGAUCUAUGGACCAAGACUCACCGGGAUCAACACCAUUCUAUACCUUGCGGAAAAACAGUUCCACGACCAGGAUUAUCCGAUCCCAAAUAUGCCAAAACUGAGAUAAUAACUUAUCACUCAGAAACUCUAGGUUCACCCAACCUUGGUCCGUGUAGCAGUAACCGUCUCAAUCUACGUCAAAAGUUCAUGUAGAAAAGUCACAGGACAACACCACUAGUCUAGAGUAUAUUUUCAUAAGCCAAAAUGACACAUUCCGUGUGAGAUAUUGAAUCCCGAUGGAAUUUGGCUAACUUUGGCCAAAUGGACCAAAGUGGGCAAUUGAACGGUUUGGACAAGUUCCAUUCGGCAUUCCAACAAGUUUGGAAGAGCUAAAAUGAGUUCCAAAGGUGUUGGAUUGGUUUUGACAUCGAACGGCGCGAAUUAGAGCCGAAGAGAUGUGAAAACAACUUUCUGGAGCUGUUGUACCGGUAUAAGAGUGAUGGCUGUACCGGUACAACCAUCGCAGGCUCUCAGGUUGGAGGCUGCCAGACCUUGUACCGGUACAAGGGGGUCUUGUACCGGUACAAGCCCUGCGAAACCGAGAAACCGAGCUCUCGGGUUGGGCUGUCUGCCAGGCCUUGUACUGGUACAAGAACCCGUGUACCGGUACAAGGGACCCGAAAAUGUGGAUCUGGUUGGAAAAUUAGUUUUUUUGAGAGGGCUUUUGGGAUUUUGUUACAAUAGAGGUCUUAUACCUCUCUCUCAGCCACUCCCUCUCAUUUUUCUCUCCCUCUCUCUCUCACCUCUCUUGCUCUCUCUCUCUCUAAACCGAAAAGAGAAGAAAAGAAGGAGAAAAAGGAGAGAAAGAAGAAGAAGAGAAGAAGGAAAGGAAGGAGAAGAUCAAGGAGAAGAAGAAGAGGCUUCUCUCCCUCCUCAUCCUCAAGCUAGGGCUUGCUUUGGAGCAAACCCUAGAGGUAAGCCUCAACCCUAAUUUGAGAUUCUAGGGUUUUGGGAGCUUUUUGUUAGUUUUAAUGGUUCAAAUGGAACCUAAUGAGUUUAGAGGAUAUGGAUCUAGCUCACAAUGAAGCUAGAAAUCAUGGUUUCCCAUGGGUGCUAAACCUAGGGUUGGAUUUUGGGGUUUUUGGGAAUAUAGGGUUUUGAUCUAUUUUGAUGGGUCGGAAACCUAAUUGUUAUGCUCCCGAACGCGUAGGCGAAGAUGGUUCGUCGAUCCUUCGAGCGAGCGCGGAGAUAUCGCCACUUUGGUAGCUCUAGGGUUCGUUUUGACCCGAGGUGUUGAAGCGGCGCACGUGGAUUUCGACGCCGAGUUUCUUAGCUUUUCGGCACUACCACAAGGUGGGUGGUGACCUUCCCGAAGCCGCGGGGCUACGUUCUAUGUCCAAGUUUAUUAUUGAUCUAAUUGCAUCUUAUCCAUGUUGCAUAUAGGGUUAGAAAAUGAUUGUUGUUGCUUAUAUUUGCAUGCUAGUAGCUAUAUGUUUAGUUGAUUGAUCCAUGAUCUAGUAUGCAUGAAAACUACACGAUGAAAACCUAGACCCUAUAUGUAAUGGUUAAUGUUUAUGAGAUUAAAGAACUAGUAAGAUGUAACUAGUGUUGAAAAUGAGUCUGUGUGAUGGGCAAUCAGAGCGCACUAUACAGACUCUUGAGGACAUGCUUCGAGCCUGUGUGAUUGACUUACAGGGAGGAUGGUCACAGCAUCUAUCGAUGGCAGAGUUUGUUUAUAACAACAGUUAUCAAGCAAGCAUCAAGAUGAAACCACUCUAUAAACGGAAGUGUAGAUCGCCACUUCAUUGGAGUGAAGUUGGCGAGAGAUUGGCUUUAGGCCUCGUUGUGCUCCAGGAAGCAGAGGACAAGGUUCGCAUUGCUAGGGAGCGACUGUUUAUUGCUCAGAGUAGGCAGAAGAGUUAUGCUGACAAGCAUCGACAGGACUUAGAGUUUCAGAUUGGUGAUCAUAUCUUCUUGAAAGUCUCACCGACCAGAGGGAUUAGAAGAUUUGGAAUCCGAGGUAAGUUGAGCCCCCGAUACAUUGGACCGUAGAGGUUUUGGAGCGUGUAGGCCCGGUAGCGUAUCGGCUUGUUCUACCACCGAACAUAUCGGGUGUACACAAUGUUUUUCAUGUAUCGGUCCUUCGGAAGUACAUCCAGGAUCCGGCUCACGUGUUGGACGCUACACCUUUGGAGCUGAGGGAUGAUUUGAGCUUUGAGGAGCAACCUUUGAGAAUUUUGGCUCGCGAAGUAAAGAGAUUGCGGAAUCGUGAGAUGCCCUACGUGAAGGUGCUUUGGAGCAACCACAAUGAGCGCGAGGCCACGUGGGAGUUGGAGAACGCGCUGCGGGAGCACUAUCCCUAUCUUUUCUAGAUGGAGGCUUGAGGUACUUUGUCUUUCCGAGUUUCGCGGACGAAACUCCUUUUUAGAAGGGGUGAAUGUAACACACUUGACCUAUGCAAAUUGCGAGGUUCGAGUGAUUGGAUGUGUUCCGAGAUUUUCCACGCCUUGUGGAGGGUCAUAACAGGUGUUCCGACCUAAAAAGUUCGAAUCCUAAAAUUCCAGCUAAGUCCUGAGAGUUUUCCUCUCGGGGACCGAUCCCUGGUGGGAGAGACCGGUCCCCUUGGAACAGUAUUGCGGCUGACUGCGAGGCAACCGGUCCCUGGCGGGGGAGACCGGUCCCCGAGCGCGUUUUCGCGGGGAGCGACCGGUCCCUCGCGGGGAGAGACCGGUUCCCGAACGUUGGAUUUUUGGGGCAGGCUGAGAGACCGGUCCCAGGUCGGGGAGACUGGUCCCUCAGUCCGAAAUCUGCCCAAUCCGGGCUUGCACGGGUUGCAAAGUAGAGGGGCUUUUCUGGAUUUUGUUACAUUACAUAGUGUCACGCCCCGGGACCGACACCAAUUUCGACCCGAGCACGUCAAACAGACGCCGGACGGACAGAGUUUCCCCUAUCCGCACAAGGCUCAUCACAUGUACAUUUUCAUCAUUAGAGAAAAGCACUAGUGGAAACAUACACAAACGGCUUACACGAGGGUAAGCAAUAGCCAUUAGUGAAAGAAAGGAAAACUAAACAUCUACACAAGUAAUAUGAUUCAUUUUAGAUCAUAUACAUUGCAUCCAUCUCUUACAUUUAGGAUUCUUUGCAUUUCAUUACAUAAUUUCAUCAUUUCUUCCUUACAUCACAUUUACCUCAAAAUAAGCUUUACAUUCUUUUCUUUACAUUACUAGUCAUCAAAUACAAAAGAUGAACAUAGGGUAGCUACUAUCAAAAUGUAAACCCAACUUUGGUUUGGUGGCCUCUGACUAAGGUGCGAUACCUUUACCUCGGUCGUUCGCCGGCUCGCUCGGUCCCGGCUCUGUGGAAAUAGUGGGGUGAGAACUACAACAAAGUUCCCAGUGGGUUCGGCCUCAACAUCACCGACUUUCCCACUAGGACUAACUCAGGUAUAAUAGAAAGGAUAAGCUAAAAUAUAGUAACCAAUCUACAACAUGAUGCUAAUAUGCCUGAACAAAAGCAAGGAAUAUGCUGAACAUUAACAUAUGCAGAUUAUGCAAGUUCUUUCGUUCUUUAUCUUCACACUUUGUUCUUUGUUCUUUGCUCUUUGUUCUUUAUUCUUUAAUCUCAAGGCUAACUCGGGGGUUUCGCCACAUUAACUUGCUUCACAUUAAGUCCAUCAUCGCAGAAACUCACCCGCUAGGACCGUCCUUCGGGUUUACUCCAACCCGUGAUGCAUAACUCCGGAGCGCAUCGCCCAAGGGGGAGCGACCGCCCUCGAGCACGGAACUCAUAGCAAGUAUGAUCAUAUCCUUAACUCAAAGGAUUUAUAAGUUCAAUCUUGACUUUACACUAGCUCUACUGUUCAUUACAUCACUUUAUGUUGCUAACUCUAGCAAUCGUUAUUCUUUACUUUUCUUUUACUCUUGCCAUCCUUAGCAUUCUUAUUCUUUACAUUUCUUGUUCUUAUUGCCCCACUUCACUUUAACUUUAUACAUUGUCAUUUUCAUCAUUCUUUACAUCACUUUGGUUCUUUGGCUCACACUAACUCUAGUGUCACUUUACUUUACGUUUUCAAAUGCCACUCGAUCUAUGUCAUUGUGCCACUCAGUUCUUUUGGCUCACUUUAGCACUCACAUUUUUCUCUCAUGCAUACAUAUAGGGUUCUAACAUUCAUAAGGUUCUCAUUCAUCACAUUAUGCAGGUUGUACUCACAAUCAUGCAACAUUAUAUUUUCAUCAUCACUUUACCCUAAAAUGCAUGCAACAACAUAUAUAUAUAUAUGCUCAAAUGAAUGACACAUUAGGCAUAGAGAGAAGUUCAACGAGUUUGAGAAGCACCACCCACCUCGUAGGCUUUCAAAGGUGCUCCGAUGAUUUUCUUGGGAUUUUUAGACCCUUCGUUCUUUACCUGCGACAUAACGAACCCUUAUUAGGCCAUUUUGCCCAUAACUUUUGAUUGUCCUUUCGUAUACUUCAACGGAGCGCACCAACGCGUUCGUUGGGUCCCCAAUUAGGUUUUUAGAGGGUCAAUUGCACUUAGAAAUCCUCAUGAGCAAAAGCCCCAAUUUGGUGCCCUAGCUCCAACACAUAUCUCAAACCUAGGGUUUGAUCUCAAAGAGAAGCAAAAGUAGCUUCACUAUACUCUAAAUAGUCCAUUAGAACCAUUCUUAGGCUUUCCAAAACCCUAAGAAUGGUUUUGAUCUUUAAAUAAGCAAAAAGAAAGCUUACCUUGUAAGAAUGGUUUUAUAUCUCAAACGUAGCACUCACAUUUUUCUCACCUUGAGCUCAACCAUGGUUUUGAUCUUUAAAGAAGCAAAAAGAAAGCUUCAAACUACUAGAUAUUCCAUUAGAAACCAUUUCUAGGUUCAUUCAAACCCAUUUCUAGGGUUUUACUACAUUAGGGUUCAAAGCUUACCUUGUAAGCUUCCUUUUCUUGCACUAGAGAAGAAGGAGAUGGAGCCUCUUUGCUCCAAAAGCUUCUUCUUCACCUUCUUUUUCUUCUUUUCCUUUCUUUUCCUUUGCCUUCUUCUUCUCCUUCUUUGUAUUCUAGAGAGAGAAAGAGAGGAGAGAGUGUGAGAGGGAAAAAAUGAGAGAAAAUCUCAUUAGGCCCCAUAACAUAGCCAUUGGGUUGCCAAAAUGCAAAUAAACCCCUCAAUUUUCACCUUAAUACACUGCCCGAACUAGGCAGUUCGCGCAGGCGGGGUCCGGUCUCUCCUUUAGGGACCGGUUCCCGAACGUCGUCCCAGCGCAGCCAGAGCUGCUGCGCGCAGUGCAACCAGUCUCUCCUUGCGGGACCGGUCUCUCGGGGACCGGUCUCUCAGGUAGGGACCGGUUCCCGAGAGCUAGUUUCUCAGGACUUAGCCGAUUUUUCGGCUGUCUCAUUUCAUACCCGUUCGGGGACCGGUCUCUCCCACCAGGGACCGGUCCCCGAGAGUUCAAAAUCUGCAGCUUUGCAGAUUUGAUUCUAUAGCUCUCGAAAACCUCCCAUAACUCACUUUUACUCAUUUUAACACCUUCGGACUUUCCGAAGUGUACCGUCUUCGCACUUUGGUCAAUUUGACUAAAGUUCGACAUUUAUUUUUCGAAUUUUCGGUAUAUUACAGAUAGCCUAUAUUUCCACUCCACCUUCUCUUUCCCUCAUUUCUCUUCUCUCAACUCUCCCUACACCUUAGAUAGAAAAGGAGAAGAAGAAGGAGGAUGAGAAAAAGGAAGGAAGGAGAAGAAGUAGACCAACAAGACGACUUGGAGCAUCCUUCUCUCCCUCUCUUCUCCCCUUGGGUGCUUGAAGGCUUGGACUUGGAGCUUGCUAAAGAGGAGAUCUUCACUCUCGGAGCUUGGAUUGGAGCUUCUAAAGAGUUUGGUUGCUUGUUUCUCCCCUCUAGACCUAGUUUUGAUGGUUUUUGGGAGGUGGAACCCUAGAAUGGAAAAUCUAGGGUUUAUUUGGGGCUUUUUGAUUAGAGGCUUUUUGAGAUAAUCUAAUUGGAUUAGAACCUUGGUUUAGGUUGCUUUGGAAGGGAUCUAGCUUCCAUUUGAGUUUUGGAAAGGGAUUUUUACACUAUAGGUGAGAUUUUGGCCCUUUUCCUUAGUAGAUUAAUGUUUGAGCUUGUAGUUGAUCGUAAGGUUCGUUUAACCUUUGUUCUUGUGCCUCUAGGGUACUAAGAGACUAGAGGACACCUUCGUUGGAGCUUACGAAGGGUUUCGAGAUGGUUCGGUGGGUUUGACCUAGCCUAGUAUAUGAGAAAUCCUCAUAUCCUAUGUUUUAUGCUUCGUAAAGUAGAAAUUCAUACAUUUUCAUGAUAAAUGUAAUUCUUGUGAAUUUUAGAAUGCUUAACAUCCCUACGUCAUGUAUAAUGAAUUUCGGACUUCUAUAUAGUAGAGGGAGAGUUGCAUGUGAAGCUUGCACUAGCAUUGGGCAUUCUUAUGUUGGACUCGGGACCAUAUUUCUUACAAUAAAAUUGAGUAUUGCUUCAUGCAUUUUAACCUAUACCUAAUUGAGACAUAAGGGACUUUAAUAAGCUUUAAGGGGCUUGGGGACUUGUACCACUUGAGAGUGAUUGGGCUAAUAUCAUAAAGGGGCAUUGAGCUCGGGUUAAAUGAGAAUCUAGUACUAAUGUCAUAAAUGGAACAUAGAUUAUGAAAUGUGUUAACUUAUAACAAGCUUAAGUGUCAUAAAGAGGCACUAAGCAUAGGGAGUGUUGGAACAUCACUUUGAGACAUUGAACUAGAUCUUUGAGAUGCUAGUGACUUUACCAUGUUAGAGACAUGAUGAUUGAAUUUUUGAGACGUUAAUUACGCUUGCUUGCCAUUUGUGCUCAUUCGCACAUGCUUGUGAGGGUCGCUCCCUACAAGCCGGCACUCCGGAGUUGGCCUACGCGACUUAUGCUCGCUCGUACGGUAUCGAGAAACCUACGGGGUCGGGAGGGAUAGACUCAUUCCUAGAGUGGGAAUGCUGGAGCUACCACCGACACUUAGGUGGCACAAGCUGGACUAUACUAUGUAGGUUCUAGAACAUGUUGGAAACAACGACAUUGAACGGAAAAUAAAAAUCACUAUUAGAUAGGUUUUGUAGUUGGAUUACUUUAACAUGCUUAAAGCAUAGUGUUAGGACAUGUAGUAUGCCAACAUGUAGUAUGCUUGACAGUUUAUUUGUUGCAUCAUAGUAUACUUGGUUGCUAUGAUAGAUCAUAAUCAUCAUGCAUUGAUAGAACGGAUCAUAAUAUUUACUUGUUGCCAUGUCGGGACAUUGUUUUAUGCAUUGGACAUACUUCAUUAUGAAAGAGUAAAUGUACAAUACAUUGACAUCGUAAUGCUUAUGGUAUAGUAAUUUUAGUGAACAUACAUGCUUUCCUCCCGCGGUUAUCAUUAUUAUUAUUGUUGCUUAUCGUACUUACCCUUUUCUUUUGGGGCCUAGUGGUGCAUUGAGCUGAGGUCAGUAAUUGCCCACUAGGAACUAUAAAUUAUAUUUCUCACGCCCUUUGUUUUAUGUUUUUAUUUUCAGAGCUUUCCACUCCGGGCGAGGCUAGGGACCGCGGAAAGGGUAUCGCCUCGAGCUAGCUAGCUGUCGAGGACGCGUUGAUAGGUGGUCUACCUCUCGUCGUUUCUUUUUGGAGAGGUAGAGAGUUGUACCAUGUAUAGAGACCACCCAUUUUUUUUGGUGUACUUCAGGAAAUGGUUAUUGUAUUACUUUAUAUUUACUUUAGUUGAGUAGUUCUCUUCUUCUACUGCUGUUGCUAGUAUUAGUGGUUAUACUUGCUCUGAUAUCACUAGUUAUUGUUCCUCCUUUUCUUCAUAUUCCUUGUUUUGUUUCCGCCCUUUAUAUGUGUAGACAUAUGGCGGGUCUGGGCGCGCUACUGGGAGGGCCUCCGCCAGUCCCGGGGCGUGACACUGAGGGCCCGAUGGGUUAGCCACAAGAUUUUGUAAAGAAAAUGUAAACUUGCAUUCAUCAUGAGCAUCUCAUUGAGCAUAUGAUUGAGUUUAUUAUUCAGGCAUAUUAGCUGCAUUUGUUAGUUGGUUACUAUCUAUUUUUUCUUUUAUUAUGCCUGAUUUAGACCUAGUGGAAAAGUCGGCAAGAUCGGGGCCGAACCCACUAGGAACUUUGUUGUAAUUCUCACCCCACUAUUUCCACAAAGCCGGGGCCGAGCGAUCCGGCGGACGAUCGCGAUAAGGGUAUCGCACCCUAGACAGUGACCGCCCGAGAUACUUUCACAUUUUGUAGUUGCAUACCCCUUUUAUAUCAUCUUUUGUAUUUGAUGAUUUUAGUUGUAUCAAAGACAUUUGAAUGAAUGAUGUAAAGGAUUACAAUUUAAAUGCAAAUGGUUGUGUUUUGAGGAAUAUGUGAUUUAUAAAAGAAAUGAUGCAAAGUAGUAAAAGAAUUUGGUAAAAGUAGUAUGCAUGUAUAUGAUUUAAAGUUAAUCAUAGUACUUGUAUGUUGAAUAAUUAGUUCUUUCACUUUAGCUAUUGCUUGCCCUCAUGCAAGCCACGGUGUAUGCUUCCGUUUUGUACAAAAUUCAUACUCUAUUUGUACAGGAUGUUGAGCCUUGGGCGGACAGGGGAGACUUUGUCCGUUCGGCGUCUGUUCGACGCCCUCGAGCCGGCCAAAAGGAUCGGGCUCGGGGCGUGACAUAGAGGACCUUGUGAAUGAGGUUAGAAGUACGGAGUUGGUGUCCUCGACUCUAAUAAUCAUUGGCAAGAUAGUGGCUUUGUCGCCGCUUUGGCCGCAAUCAUCUAACAUGAAGAGUCGCAGACUGCACAGCCAUGUGCAACACAGACACAAGGAUAAAUCUGACUUUUGUUUGCAGUUCUUAUAUUUUGUGAAAAUUAGGCACUGCAAUAGGAUAUCUAAUGCGCAUUGUCCUCUCAAAGAGGUAUUUUCUCGACUUUACGGAUCAAAGAUGAAUUAAUCAGAGUAAGAGGAUCAAAAUCUGCGAAUAGCAUAUGAAUUAGAUAGAUUGAGGAACAGAGAGCUGAAGGAAAAGUGUCACGCCCCGGGGCCGAUUUUAAAAGCCAUUUUGAAAACAGAGUUGCGGAAGACGUGCCUUUUUUUUUUUUCAACCUGGCCCAUGCGAUGUACAGAUCCGCCACAAAUACAAGGUUCCUCGGUCCACUCGGACAGAGUCUCCUUUGUAUUUGCACGGCGUACCAACGAUACAACAGGAUCUCAACUACAAUCUACAAUUACCAAUCAACAACCAAUUCAUGAUAUGCAUUUUCAUACAGCUAACAAUCCCUAGAGAUGAUGCAUGCCUCUAAGCACUCCUUAGGUGCUAGAUGAUGCCAUGCACAGUACAACAAUCAUCCUAUUUAAAAGUGCUCCCCACCCGGAAGCUAGCGAUCCUUAGAUAUGAUGCAUGCCUCUAAGCACUCCUUAGGCACUGGAUGAUGCAAUGCACAGUACAACAAUCAUCCUAUUUAAAAGUGCUCCCCACACAGAAGCUUUUAUUUUUAAAAUCUAAUUCAUUCAUUCAUGAAAACUAUUCGAAAAUCUUUUGAAAAUUGUUUCCCACACGGAAACUAUAUUUUGAAAACCAGCUACCUCGAGGGGUACAAGGACCAAAAACCAUAAAACUAGAACCAUAAAUCUAUAAACCCCAAUCUCAGAUCCACAAUCACAAGCAUAAAUAAUGAAAACAUCCACAACUAAAACCAGUUCACAACAUUCAAGCAAUCAGAGGAUUAUCUAACUGAACAAUUUAUUUAAACUACUAAAAGCAGGAAUGAAAUAACCAGGGUGAUGGUCGCUACACCAGACUAGCUAGAUCGUCUUCUCGUCGAGCCCAAGUACCAACUCCAAGCUCGAAUCACCUGGGGAAAUGGGGGGUGAGAAACCGUAACCAUGAUUUUCCAGUGGGUACGGCAGAGCCACGAAGGCAAGUCGUAAUCACCGGAAACCAAAGGAGAUAGAUAAACAAGUAUAUAUAUGCUGAUAUGAAACAGAACUACAGAUAUGAAUAUGAUGUGAUAUAAGAGCAACUACAGUAGUAAUAGAAACGGGAUAAUAACUGAGCAAGAAUGAAACUACUACUGUAACAAAAAACUCAACUGAUCAGAUGCCUCAAAGGUGAAUAGUCCAAAACCAAACCUAAUCUGAUACUACUAUAUUGGUCCGCAGACCUCAAGCGUUGCCUGUCACAGAGCAGACACUGCGAGCUUAUUCAUGCGUCACCGACGACCUAUCCGGAUACGUACACCCCUUGGAUGGUGGCCAAACCAACCUGGUGUCUAGAAUACACAGUGCUGUGACUAAAUCAUGCUGGUAUGCUCAAAACAAAAAUCGACAAAAAGAGACCGGUACCAUGGCCGAAGCCAGUGCAAGGGCGUACAACGAACCACGAUCAACCAGAUCGAAACACAUGACAAGAGAGUCGAUGUGUUGCCUGGACCCAAGGUCCACAGAGAUGCAAUAUACGAAUGCAAGCCUGCUCUACAUGUCUAUCCACAACUAUACAAAUGCAAUCAAUGGAAUACGAUAAGCAACGAUAAACAAACAACUGACAUGUAGAGACUACGAUACUGAAUGAAAGAAUAGAGGAAGGGAGAAACGAUCUCACCGACUACUAGCUCGAAGCACCCACCUGACACUGUCGCGUCGAAACACUGGGUACGCACAAGUCAACCGAACCUACGAAGAUCCAACAGGUCAGUAACAAACCAACUCACCUGAAGUAUACUAUCUUACAAACCCCCACACAGAUCCCCGAAUCGGUUUCCCAAAACCGAUCAUCGUAACUAACCGGAAGUCCCAAAAAUCACACCGGGACGCCGUCGGGACCCACUGAGUGUCCCGAAACUCACCGACUCGUGCCACGAGUCACCUGCUGCCCCUAAACACUCCGAUUUGGAUGGUUUGGCAGCAAACACAAGAUAACACCACUACACAAUUAUCGUCGGAUAAUUGUACGAAUUCGGGUUUCCGAAAGUGUCUAUUUCGACACCGGAACCCACCGUCGCUCACCCAUCAUCACCGAACCCACAAAAUGAUAAUGGUGACGAGCCAACAAGGCUCAGCGAUAAUUUACAGGAUAACCAAACCUCGUUGGAAGAAAUCCGAACUGAAAUCGUGUUCUUUCGGCAAAUUUUGCCGAAAAACGCACCGGAAUCGACUUUUUGAUAUCCGCAAAAGCUAUUAGAUCAUGGACAAUUAGUCCGAAGGUCACCAUACACACCAACGCACUGCCCACAGUAGCCACAAGGUGUACAAAUGCAUAAAAGUCCCUAUGUUUACAUAAAAUCCAUCAUUUUAUGUAAAUCGGGCGACUUCUAUGACUCGUUCUCACAAACCGAGGACUUCUAAGUUCCACCGAGACACGUACUGACAGGUCUCGACGUACCGGAGGCCGUGCUCAUGGUCUGGAGCGCAACAGCUCACUGUGGGAAGCGCGGGAGCAGCCUGAAAAUUCUGUGAACAGCCUGCAGUCGGGGAAAAACGCACCAAGCAGAACGAUACGACAUCCGCUGAUCCAAAAUAAGGUGAGCACUGUGAUCAGCACUGAUUCACAAUCACCGUGCUCACCUCCAGAGGCAUCAGAAUAGCCUCGGAUCACCGGCAAAGUGCGUUCAAACCCGCAACAGCAGCCAAAAAGGCUCUAUAGGGUCGACAAUGCCGAAAUAGCGGAACGGAUUCUCCCCGACAGAAACUAAGGUGAGCACGAUGAUCAGCAAUUUGCCACGAUCAUCGUGCUCCCUUCCGUAGAGAUCGGGGAGGCUCGGAAAGCUCGGAACAGCAAACCGCCAAGGAAUAGCCCUAUUUCGGGCUUGGCCGGAGCAAGCUUGCUCCGGCCAGCUUCCGGCAUCACGGUGUGGUGCCCGCAGGCCAGGAAUGGAUGCGGGGGAGGUGAGGAGUGUGGUGCUCACCUCAGUUGGCGGCGAGGAGCGGCGGCGGCGACAGUGGAGAGACUUGAGCCCGCACGUGCAAGGCCUCGGGUUCCAAAGUAGCUGCGGCCACGGCGGCGGUCGGGGCACUCAGGGACGGCGGCAGAGGGUCGUCUGAGGUCAACGGAAGGCGGCAUGGGUAGUUUCGGGCGGCGGCGACGCGAGGGAGUGCUCGCAAAGUUGUCUCGGCCCGAACAGAUCAGGGGCGGCCGCGGGUUGGCCGAGACGGCGGCGACGACCCGCAGAGGCGGCGGCAACCGGCUAGGAAGGUCGGUGAGGCCCAAGGGAAGGCCGCGGGAGCGACCCCAAGUGGCUGCGGCGCGGAGAAGAGGCCACAUAGUCAGCUUGGUCUGGGCUCGGCCAAGCCGGACGCAGGAUGUAGCAGCGGCAGCAGCCGCGCGCAGAGGCGACGGCGGUCGGCGGGGAGGCUCGCCACGGCACGGGGGCGAUGCCGGCAAGGUGCAGGGAGGCAAUGCAGCCUCAGCCAAGGCUCCAACCCAAGAAGACCAGAGGGGUGGAGAGAGAAAUGGAGAGGGAGGGAUGGAGAGGAAGGCUGCGGUUGCUGCUGGCCGGCCGGGGCUAGGUCGGCGGCUGCCGGGAGUGGCGCAGCAAGGGCAGGGCAACCAAGGGAGGCGACUGGGCGUUUAGCUCGGGCUAGGGUUAGGGUUUUCAUAGUGAAAACCCUAAAACAAGCAUAUAUACAAGGUACAAUUUGCGAGUUAGCCCACCAAACCUCAGUAUUUAGUACUGAGUCCCUCACAGCGCGUGUACAACGCAAGAAUACCCCUCUACGUGCGAUCUCAUACAAAUGGUACAUAAAAUGUCGCGACUUUUGCGAAAAUACAGUUUUGCGAUCACCGACCUCUCCUCGAUCAACGCGCAAUCUCCGUAGAUCCGUCCGUCAGAUUUGCAAACGGAUCACGCCAGUGCGAUCAGCACGACGGAGACAAUAAAGCUAGGAUUUUGUUUCACCUUAUCGAUCACGGAUUUGCGACGAAAUCCGCUUUCUCUCCAAAAGGCCAAGAUGACGCACAAAUACAUAUAAAACACGUAUUUUUGGAUUUCCUCGAAAUCCAUACAUGAAACUCAAAAUCCGCCAGCGCCAUUAGUCCCAGAACAGCUGAACCGGUCGAAACGAGCUAUUGGAUCGCUAUGAACGGAGUCCGAUACGAGCCUGAAGCCAACUCUACGCAUUGAGUUUUCCGGAAAAUCAAGUUACUAUUCACUUUAAGUGAAAUUGGAAAUCACGUAGAAUCUCCGUUCUAACUUGUUUUCUCUCAAAACUUGACGAGUGCUUUUGUAAUUAAAUUACACACAAAAACAUCAUCAACAGAGAGUUUAACUAUACUGUCUCGCUCAUACUCUCCUACGGUACGGUUGCCUUGCUUGAGGCGUUCUAGCUCGCGCUCCAGACUCUGCUUGGUGCUGUCCAUGAAGUACUACUCGUAAAGGAGUCUCCGGAACUCCUCCCAGCUUGGAUAGAUGCUCCCAAGUUUGCGCUCGAAGUGCCUGAUCCACCACGAAUAUGCAUCCUUCUCAAGACAGUGAGCAGCUAGAGGGACGCGAUCCAGCUCCUCGAUGUGUAGAUCAUGAAACAGUUUCUCCAUAUGAGUAACCCAAUGCUCGAUCACCGAGGCGUCGUCGCUCUUUCCUGCAAACUUCGGCGGAUCGAACUUUCGAAACUCCACCAGCUUCGCCCAUAUGCGGGUGCCUUCCGCUGCAGGGGUAUCAGCACCCCCAGCGGGAACCGUCGUGGUGGCCGUCGUCGUCGUAGUAGUGACAGCUGGAGGUACGGCAGGCGCAUGCGUCGCGGGAGGAUCCGCGUUCACCGAAGUGUCCUGUGCCGAAGGUGGGACCGGGGUAGCAGUAGCCGCAGCCUGUUGCUGCAAGAACUGCUGGAACAAACCAGAGAGGGUCAUGAGCUGACCCCUCAAAUCAGCUACCUGGGCCUCGAGCUGCUGGGCGCGAGUACCACGCAGCGGCUCCGUGCCCGACUGCUCCCCAACACCCCCACUCGUAGGAACACGAGUACUACCCGAUGCCUUUGCACCAGCACAUCCACCAUCACGACCCGGACGAGGGGGUCUACCACGAGCCAUCUGCAAGAGAAAACACCGUCAAGCGAACCAAUCGACUCGACAAACAAACUCACCUGGACUCAAACCCCAUACACCGCACUCGCGUGCCUAUAUGCCUUAGGUCUUCCUAUGGGUCAACCUAAUCAAUGGUUCAGUUAGAAACUUGUAAAUGUAGUUGUAGUUGUUUCACUCUCUAAUACCAUCUUAAUCUGUUACACCCCAGGGCCGAUUUUAAAAGCCAUUUUGAAAACAGAGUUGCGGAAGACGUGCCUCUUUUUUUUUUCAACCUAGCCCAGGCGAUGUACAGAUCCGCCACAAAUACAAAGUUUCUCCGUCCACUCGGACAGAGUCUUCUUUGUAUUUGCACGGCGUACCAACGAUACAACAUGAUCUCAACUACAAUCUACAAUUACCAAUAACAACCAAUUCAUGAUAUGCAUUUUCAUAUAGCUAACAAUCCUUAGAGAUGAUGCAUGCCUCUAAGCACUCCUUAGGCGCUGGAUGAUGCCAUGCAUAGUAUAACAAUCAUCCUAUUUAAAAGUGCUCCACACCCGGAAACUUUAUUUUUAAAAUCUAAUUCAUUCAUUCAUGAAAACCAUUCGAAAACCUUUUGAAAGCUGUUUCCCACACGGAAACUCUAUUUUGAAAACUAGCUACCUUGAGGGGUAGAAAUCCAUGAUGUAUAAAUCCGUAAAAUACGCAAAUCCAAGGACCAAAAACCAUAAAACUAGAACCAUGAAUCUAUAAACUCCAAUCUCAGAUCCACAAUCACAAGCAUAAAUAACGAAAACAUUCACAACUAAUACCAGUUCACAACAUUCAAGCAAUCAGAGGAUUAUCUAAUUGAACAAUUUAUUUAAACUACUAAAAGCAGGAAUGAAAUAACCAGGGUGAUGGUCGCUAUACCAGACUAGCUAGAUCGUCCUCUCGUCGAGCCCAUGUACCAACUCCAAGCACGAAUCACCUGGGGAAAUGGGGGGUGAGAAACCGCAACCAUGGUUUUCCCAGUGGGUACGACAGAGCCACGAAGGCAAGCCGUAAUCACCGAAAACCAAAGGAGAUAGAUAAACAAGUAUAUAUAUGCUGAUAUGAAACAGAACUACAGAUAUGAAUAUCAUGUGAUAUACGAGCAACUACAGUAGUAAUAGAAACGGGAUAAUAACUGAGCAAGAAUGAAACUACUAUUGUAACCAAAAACUCAACUGAUCAGAUGCCUCAAAGGUGAAUAGUCCAAAACCAAACCCAAUCUGAUACUGCUAUAUUGGUCCGCAGACCUCAAGCGUUGCCUGUCACAGAGCAGACACUGUGACUUAUUCAUGCGUCACCGACGACCUAUCCGGAUACGUACACCCCUUGGAUGGUGGCCAAACCAACCUGGUGUCUAGAAUACACAGUGCUGUGACUNUCACACAGGAAACAGCUAUGACCAUGAUUACGCCAAGCUAUUUAGGUGACACUAUAGAAUACUCAAGCUUUUAGUUGUUCCAAAACCAGCUUUUCCUACCAAUAUAUUGAAAAGAAUGCAUCAACGAACACAAAAAGGACAGAACAAAUUAAAUCGAAGUUGAAAAGAUAAUAUAGCUUGCAAUCUAUUCCUCCUGCCCAUCCCUAAGUUCAUUAUCUUAUUGACCUCUUCCAUUGUGGUGCCUAAGAACUCAUCUCCUCGUGGCUUCUUGGAGGGCACACCCCUCCAGCAACAAACAGCACCAACAACCAUUUAGGGGGAAAGAGAGAGAGAAAGAGAGAGAGGGGGAGAGAAAGAGGGAAGGGGAAGAGGGAGAGAGGGGGAGAGAGAGAGAGCCGCGCCGCGACCCGCGCCAGCGCUCGCUCGAGCCGCCCACUCACGCUGCGCUUGUCCGUGGGGGGGAGAGGGAGAGGGAGAGAGGGGGAGAGAGAGAGAGAGUUGCGCCUGCGCCCGCUCGAGCCGCCAGCCCGCGCCGCGCGCCCACGCCGUGCCUGCGAAUGCUACCAUGUGCGCGCGACCCGCACACGCCCGUGCUGCCACGUGCGCACGACCCACGCCCAGCGCCCGCUCGCGCCUCUGUCACGCCCCGGGACCCGGCAUAGGUUCGCCCGCUGCGUGCCCAGACCCGCCAUAUGCCUGCACAUAUAAGGCGUCUACAAAAAAAGAGAUAUGAAAGUAAGAAGAAAUAAAGUCACUAGAGAUAUCAGAGCUACUAACAACAAGUAGAGAAAGGGGGAAAGUAAACUACUAAACAUAAAGAUAAAGUUAGUACAAAAGUCAUCACAAAAGUACUACAAAAAGGGUGGUCUCUAUGCAAGGUACAACUCUCAUCUUCUCCCAAAAGAAAAUAAAGAAGAAGUGGGCCACCUAUCGAACGUCCCUCGCUCACAAGCUAGUUCGUGGCGAUUCCCUUUGCGCGGUCCCUAGCCUCGCCUGGAGUGGAAGGCUCUGAAAUAAAAACAAGAAACAGAGGGCGUGAGAACUAUAAUUUAUAGUUCCCAGUGGGCAAUUACUGACCUCAGCACUAAGCACCACUAGGCCCCAAAAGAAAAGGGUAAGUACGAAAACCGCAAAUAAAAAUAAAUAGAUUGCAUUAGUGAAAGCAUAAAUAAAAUGCUGAAUUACUAUGUCGCAAGUAAACAUGAUGUCAAUGUGUUGUACAUCUACUCUAUCAAAAAUGAAGUACGUCAUAUCCCAACAUAACGAGCAAGUAGAUAUCAUAAUGUCACGCCCCGCCCUGAAAACACUACCAAUUUGGCAUGAUUCGGCCGCGGCGACAGACCGCCGAACGGACAGCACCUCCCUUGCUCGCCCAAGGCUCAACCACAGGAAUGUGUACAAGAAUUUACCCAGGACUUUAAAUUCUAAACAUACACAUUCAACGAGGGCACAAACAGUGCCAACAAUAAGAAGAGCAAGUAAUCCACAAGAUAUACGAGUGAAAUGAAGAGAGUACUUUACUAACUAUUACAAUAGUUACAUUCUUUACCUUUACAUCAUUUUCAAAAAUGAAUACAUUUGAUCCUCAAAAUACAUAGCUCUCCAACCUCACCUACAUGAAUCUCUCUCAAUACAUAGGUGUACUAAUGCAAAAGGGAAAGCUACUACACUACCACGGCCUCACUGAUCGGGCGCGAUGCCCUUGCCGCGGUCCUCUCUCUGCAGCCCUGAACCUACCACUGGAAAUAGAGUGGGGUGAGAACUAUCUUCCAUAGUUCCCAGUGGGCUCGGCCACCGACUCUGCCGAUCUCCCCACUAGGUCCAAGUGGGCACAAGUAACAACAAAUAGAUAGAUAGAUAUGUAUCUGAAAGCUGUAAAUGCAGUAGUAGGAAAACUAUGCUACUAUGCCCAUAAUCAUGAAUAUGAAUGCAUGCAUCAUAUAAUAAAGGUUUGCUACCAUGCUAACAAAUUCGAUCCAUGUUCGAAUAGUAAUGUUCAAUAUGUUCAAUGACAUUUAUUAACCUUUAACCUUUCAUUUACCCAAUCUGUGGCGAGGCCCUAGGGUGAACAACGAAAGUUGUGUACCAUAGUCAGUAGCUAGGUAUGGAUAGGGGGGCAUGGAAUACAUAUGAUGAGCUACAACAAUGGUUAAAGAGCCUAACAUAGCCAGGUUAAGAGAUAAUUGAGCAUGCCAUGACGUUGUUAGGAUUUCAUAUAGGCCCUUAUGGCCCUGGCCCAUAAAUGGACCUUUAUGAGCCUCUAAAAUGUCCUUAAGGCCAUGACCAAUGCCCCACGCCCAUAACUCAUCUUUCAAUCCCAAAGUGGGGAGGGAGCUCCAAGUGCACCCAAGCCCGGGACCGUCUGCGGACCUCCAUGUGGUCCGGACCUCCAAGUGGUCCUAGUCGCGCGACACUCCGGAGUACUCGACGACAAUCCCCUCCAUGUGGGGAUUGGAUGGCUAUGCCACCCUAAACGCAGACUGUGAGCUAGAUCUAUCCUCUCCAUGUGAGGAUACACUGUAACUAGGGUCAACACCCAAUCCAAUCCUCUCCAAGUGAGGAGGCUCUACAACUAGAGUCAAUAACCCAAUCGAAUCCUCUCCAAGUGAGGACGCCCUAUACUAGGGUCAACGACUAUCGCGGAAUCAUCGGUUCCCGACAUUCAUGCAAUGCUAUUUAGUUUUCUAAAUUCAUUGUUCACAAGGCAUUUUCUAAGGGAUCCACCUAUCCCUAGGUCCAUCGACCUCUAGUGUUAUUUACACUACAUUAAUGCCACUCGUUAUCAUUCAAUGUUUGGAUGCCACUCGUUUGUUCUUUAACAAUAACACUACUUUCUAUGUCAUCAAUACCCCCAUCGGGUUCAUCUCUUUUCUUUCGCACCAUAGGAUUCACGUCUCGACCCAAUCCUCACCUAUCUAAGUUACCAAGCGUUCCAAGUACACUAGGUUAUCAAUUAGAAAGCAUAAGGAAUGGAGCUACUAUGCAAUCCUACAAUGCAACAUGAAGAGAUGAGAUUAAAUGCAAUCUAAGACAUAGAAAGGAGUUCGAAAGUUUCGGAUGACACCCCCCACCUUUAAUCGAUGUAGAGGUUUCGGAAAUCUCUCUCGGCGAGCUCUACGAAAAGGCCUUAGCCUUCCUCGCCCGAAUCAACACUAGCCCGGCCCGAUUUUGCCGAGAACUUCACGUCGGUUCGCCGAAUGCCAAAAUCGACUUCGCCCCCGCGUUUUGGGACCUAUCAAUAGGGUUUCCAAGGCUUCAAAUGAGAUCAAUCUCAUACAUUUACAAAAACCUCAUUUUGGAACCCUAGAUUUGCACCUAUAGCAAAUCACCCCAUAAAUCCCUAGAUUCUUGGGAUUGAUCUAUUUAGAAGCUUGCUUAGGGUCCAUUUGACCCAUUCCAAGGCAUAAAACCCAAAAACCCUAAGUUCUAGAAGCUAGGGUUUAGUAGCUUACCUCAAGAGCUACUCCAAUGGGAAGAGGAGAGGGAGAUGGAGGUGCUCAAAGCCUUCCUCUUGAUCUCCUUCUUCUUCUCCUUCCUUAUCUUCCUCUUCUUUUCCUUCCUCUCCUUCUUGUUCUUCUUCUCCUUCUUUCCUUUCUAGAGAGAGAGAGAGCAAGAGAGAAAUGAGAGUGAGAGAGAGUGAAAUGAGAGAGUGUGAGGGAGAGAGAGGGCUCAGCCCACUCAAAUAAAGGCCAUUUUGCAUAAAAGCCCCUCAACUUUCACCCCUGUGCACUGCCCUUACUGGGCAGUUUUCGCGCGGAGGGACCGGUCUCCCCGACUUGGGACCGGUCCCCGAGAGCUUCCCUCGGGCGCACGCGUUCGGGAACCGGUCUCUCCCCGGGAGACCGGUCCUCGGGAGACCGGUCCUCACCUGAGAGACCGGUCCCCGAGAGCUUGAUUUUCAGGACUUAGCCAAUUUUUUGGCAUCUCUCGCUGGGACCACGUUCGGGAACCGGUCCCUCCCUGCCAGGGACCGGUUGCAUCACGCAACCCCGCUACACCCAGCCAGGGGAACCGGUCUCUCACCUGCAGAGACCGGUCCCCGAGAGCAACAUCAGCCCAAUGAUGCCAUUUGCCUCAUUUGCUCUCGCGGACUCAACUCCAAGGCACUUUUUGUGCUUUGGACAUUCCCAACUCCCACAAAGGGUAUACUCUCGACAAUUAGUCGAUCCUGGAUGGAGUACAAUUCUCGCAUUUCGAGAAUUCACUUCCUUACAUCCCCCCCUCCUUAAAAGGAGUUUCGUCCUCGAAACUAACUCAAUUCCUUAUUUUAAUUCAAAUCCGUACCGUACUCCUCAAAGAGAUGAGGAUGGUGUUUUCUUAUCAGAUCUUCGAGUUCCCAGGUGGCUUCGCGAUCAUCAUGAUUGCUCCACCUAACCUUCACAUAGGGGAUUUCUCGAUUCCUCAACUUCCGCACCUCUCGGGCGAUAAUCCCUACCGGAAACUCUUCAUAGCUCAAGUCUCCUCGAAGUUCCGGCGGUUCAUUAGCAUUGCGUGCUCGGGGUCGUGAAUGUACUUGCGGAGAUUGGAGACAUGGAACACAUUAUGUACAUCAGCAAGCUUCGGCGGUAGAGCAAGCCAGUAGGCCACCGAGUCGACUCGCUCUAAUAUCUCAUAUGGUCCAAUAUAUCGGGGACUUAGCUUUCCCCGCACUCCAAACCGCUUCACACCCCGCAUGGGUGAAACCUUCAAGAAUACGCGGUCACCCACUGUGAAUUCUAUAUCUCGACGGCGCCUAUCCGCAUAACUUUGCUGUCUUGACUGCGCCGUGAGCAAUCUCUUGCGAGCAAGGCGGACUUUCUCCUCCGCUUCUCGCAACACAUCCGGGCCGAACUCCGCACGCUCGCCAACAUCGCUCCAGUGUAUAGGAGAGCGACACGUCCGCCCAUAGAGAGCCUCGAACGGUGCCAUCUCCACACUAGCAUGAUAACUGUUGUUGUAGGCGAACUCGGCCAUGGGUAGAUGGUCGCACCAACUUCCCUUAUAGUCGAUGACACACGCUCAUAACAUAUCCUCCAGAGUUUGAAUUAUUCUCUCUGUUUGCCCAUCGGUCUGGGGAUGAAAUACGGUGCUAAAGUCAAGCCGUGUGCCAAGGGCUCCCUGCAGGCUCUUCCAAAAGUGUGAAGUGAACCGGGGGUCACGAUCCGACACGAUCGAUUUCGGCACCCCAUGCAGUCUCACUAUCUCGUUGAGAUAUACCUGCGCUAACUUGUCACCUGACCACGUGGUGUGGAUCGGCAAGAAAUAAGCCGACUUAGUUAAUCGGUCCACAAUUACCUAUAUUGCAUCGUGGCCGCCCGUUGAGCGAGGCAAGCCGACCACGAAGUCCAUCGAUAUAUCCUCCCAUUUCCAAACGGGGAUUGGUAGGCUUUGAAGCUUUCCCGCUGGAAAUCAACGCUCUGCUUUCACUUGUUGGCACGUUAAGCACUUCGCCACAAAGCGCCCAAUAUCACCCUUCAUUCCCGGCCACCAAUAAUGCAUUUUCAAUCCUCGAUACAUUUUGGUGCCCCUCGAGUGAUCAGCAUACGGAGAUCUGUGUGCUUCUUGUAAAAUCAAUUCGCGAAGCUCUCCAUCUUUCGGCACACACCAUCGGUUUCUAAACCGAAGCGCACCAUCGGCGUUUAUACUAAAAUCGCCGCCACGCCCUUCCUCGAUGUUUCGCCGCACCUUUUGGAGCUCUGGGUCUGCGGGUUGCAGAUCUUUAAUCCUCUCCAACAAGGUCGGUUGGACAACGAGUGCCAUCAGCUGAGUCGGGACCUCGGGAGCGACCACUUCAAGGUCCAACCGCUCCAUAUCCAGCCACAGAGGUGUUUGCUGGGUAACAUCAAAUGCGAGGUUCUUCGCUGACUUCCUACUUAGUGCGUUCGCGACCACAUGUGCCUUCCCGGGGUAGUAGAGGAUAUCGACAUCAUAAUCCUUUAACAGCUCCAACCACCGCCGCUGACGCAUAUUGAGCUCCUUCUGAGUAAACAAGUACUUUAAGCUCUUGUGGUCGGUAUAGAUCUCACAGUGGGCACCAUAUAAAUAGUGCCUCCACAGCUUUAAGGCGAAUAUCACCGCCGCUAGCUCCAAAUCAUGGAUGGGGUAGUUCUUCUCGUAGCUCUUCAGCUGACGGGAUGCGUAGGCAAUCACCUUCCCGUUUUGCAUCAACACACACCCCAACCCAAGAUAGGAGGCAUCACUAUAAACCACAAAGUCUUCGCCCUGCACCGGUAGAGCGAGCACCGGAGUCGAAGUCAAUCUUUGCUUCAACUCUUUGAAACUCCGGUCGCAUUCUUCGCUCCAAACGAACUUGGUGCCUUUCUGGGUUAGACGAGUAAGUGGAAUCACUAUCUUUGAAAAGCCUUCCACAAACCGCCUAUAGUAGCCCACUAAGCCCACGAAGCUUCGAACCUCCGUGACAUUCGUCGGGCGCGGCCAAUCCUUGAUUGCCUCAACUUUCCUCAGGUCUACAGAAAUUCCACCCGCGGAAAUUACAUGCCCUAGAAAUGCGACUUCUCGGAGCCAGAAGUCACACUUCUUCAACUUAGCAUAUAGCUUUUCCUCUCGAAGGACUUGAAGCACUAUCCUCAAAUGCUCGGCAUGUUCCUCGUCACUACGAGAGUAGACCAAUAUGUCGUCCAUAAAGACCACGACGAAUCGAUCCACGACGAAUCGAUCCAAAUACUUCUUGAAGACACGGUUCAUCAAGUCCAUAAACGCCGCUGGAGCGUUCGUGAGCCCAAAUGGCAUGACCGUGAAUUCGUAAUGUCCAUACCGCGUACGAAAUGCGGUCUUCUGCACCUCCUCCGGCUUGAUCUUCACUUGAUGGUAGCCGGAUUGCAAGUCUAUCUUCGAGUACACGCACGACCCUUGCAACUGAUCAAACAAGUCAUCGAUUCGGGGUAGUGGGUACUUGUUCUUGAUCGUGACUCUGUUCAAUUCUCGGUAGUCCACGCAGAGUCGAAACGAUCCGUCCUUCUUCCGUACAAACAACACCGGGGCUCCCCACGGUGACACACUUGGCCGGAUAAAUUGCUUGUCGAGGAGGUCUUGCAGUUGACUCCUCAACUCCUUUAAUUCUGCCGGCGCCAUGCGGCACGGGGCCUUCGAGAUCGGUGCAGUGCCGGGAAUCAAGUCUAUGACGAACUCGAUCUCCCGAUCCGGCGGUAUCCCCGGCAACUCCGCGGGAAACACAUCCGGGAACUCCCGCACUACCGCUAGCUCUUCCAAUGUUGGAGCUACUCGUUCCACUUCCACAACGGUUGCCAAAAAUGCUGCACAACCGUUGCUCACCAACUUUCUUGCCCUUGUCGCCGACACCGUCGCGACGAAGCACGAGCUCUGGCAAGCUUGAUAGGUGAAUUCUUCUUGUCCUGGCUCACAGAACGUGAUCACCCUGCUUUUGCAAUCGAUCGUUGCAUGAUACUUCGAAAGCCAAUCUAUGCCCAAUAUGACAUCGUACGCUUCUAGUUUCGUGAGCUCCAACGUCCGGAUUGGCAUAAUCCGUUCGCCUAUUUGCACCGAACACGAGGCGCACUCCGAGUAGGUAUUAAAUGUCGACCCAGGGCCCUCUACUCGCCACUUGUCACUCGCUUCUAUAUAUAUGCCAUGCAUGCGUGCGAAUGAUCUACUUAUGAAUGAAUGCGUGGCUCCUGUAUCAAAUAAACCCCUGGAGCGAACUCCGUUAAUUAAAACCAUACCUGCCACAAGGCGAUGCUCCUCCGCCUCUGCAAGCUCCUCAGCUUGGACCUGAGCGGCGAACACCCGUCCGCUCGGGGCCGAUCGCGCCACCUCAGGUGGACGCGACAUCGUCGCGCGUCCAGUCGACGCGGCCGUCGGUGGAGCUCCUCCAUAGUGAGCCGGAAUCACCGGUGCCGAUGCAGUCGAAGGGGCAGGUGAGGCUCCUCCCCCCGGGCAAUCUCAAAUGAAGUGUCCCGGCUGCCCACAUUUGUAGCACUUGCCUCGGCCUUGUUCACAGCGCGAGACCGGGUGGUCUUCGCCGCAUACAAUGCAUCGCCGCGCUCCACCGCCUUUCUGUUGAGUGCGCGGAUACUUCGGGGGUUUCUUAUAACGUGUUUGACCACCCGAACUACCGCCGCCUUGGCGUUUCUUGCCCUUGUCCUUGGACUCCGCCAAAAGCUCACGCUUCUCCCGAACGUGGGCGUCUCCAUGCUCUGCCCAUAGCGCUCGAUCAAAGACCUCAGCAAAGGUCGUGAGCUUAAGUAUUUACACAGCCUUGUAAAUUGUAACAUAUGGAAAACUUGAAGUUGCAAUGUCAACCUUGAUCUAGGGGAUCAAAGUGAGGAUUGAACUAGUUGGACAUCAUCCUCGAGUGAAUUGUGAUGCGUUGGAAUGACUUUCAGAGAUAAAUAAGUGUUUCGGCGCAAAUUGGGCGCGAAACGAAAUAUAAAGAGAAUUUUCGGAUUUCCGACGCUAACUUUGAUUAAAAGAAUUAAAGUAAGGCGUGAGGAUAAAUUGUGGUAUCUCCGAAUCAAUUGUGAAGCUUUGGAAAAGCCAAGGGUGUGUUUUCAAAGGAUUUUGAAGAGCUCAGUGCGAAGUGGUAGUGUAAAAAAGUAGAAAAUGCAAUAGGAGCUGAUUCUAUUGUUAAUUCGGCUCCAAUAAUGUCAAAAUGCAAAGGAAUUGCUUCCAAACUAAAUUAGUAGCUUGUGAAGAUCCCUUGGUAUAUUUUGGAAGUGUUUGGGUGAAAUCGGAGUGAAAACAGAAAAUGUAGACUUUUCUGUAAAGAACGGGACUGAGAAAAUUAGCAGAAAAUGCACAGUGUCAGAAAAUUAUGAAAAUUGGCAAAGAUGUCAGGAACAUUUUUAUGAGGCUAGAUUUGAAGUUUAAUAUUUUUUUGACACCUGUAGAGAGAGAAAUAGCAUAUGAAAGUUAUCUGAUAAAGCUUAUAGUUCGGGACAGUUCGCAGUGACCAAACGGGGUCGAAACUGAAAUGUUAAAAUUUCAGUGGACUUGUUAAGUAAAAAUGAACAUUCUUGUCAAAAUUGAGCUCAAUCGGACUGUCGGAAGGGCUAAACAUAUAUGAAAAUGAACGCGAGAGACAUGAGAAUGAAUAUAUAUAUGAACGGGAAAGCCAUAGUUAUGCUAAAUUCAUAUGUUCAUGAUAUAUAAAUGUUGAACUUGUAAAUAUCAUGUUAAAUCUGUAAAAGCCAAGGGCAUGUAAAUUGAAUAUGAAAUGUGAACCUAGAUGCUAUUGUCGACACUUAAAAGCGAAUAUUUGAGGCAUGUGCCCAAACAUAUGUGAAAAUGAAUAUAUUAUAGUUCAAGCUAUAUGAACGUCGAUAAUGAUUAGAAACCUCGAUGGCAAUAAGUAUAUAAUCUGUAAACCUCACGUGAAAUCCCUAAGUAUUGGGUAUAAAUCGACAACUCCAGUUGAGUAGAAAUCUAAACGGUAACGAGGUAAAUGAAAAUGUGCAGAUUAUAAACCUAGGCAUGGAGAACUAGGAUAUUGAACAGAUCGAGUGGCAUGAACCUAGAGUUAUUAAACAUAGGUUGGACAUGAAAUAAGCCUAGUGUUAUUGAACAUAGGUCGGACAUUAACCUAGUGUCAUUGGACCUAGGUCGAGUAUGUAAACCUAGAGUUGAGAUCUAGGAGAAAGUAUAUAAAACCUAGUGUAAGUGAACCUAGGUUAUGAUGUCAAGAACCAUUUAGUAAAAGUAAACUAAGUUAUGAAUUAUAGUGGCAAUAGGACCACUAGAAAGUGAAUAAUAUAGACCUAAGAAGGUCGUCAACAUAGGGUCAGUGAGUAAACCCUUAAGUUGUGAAAUGGAUUCCGGAAUCCUUAGGAAUGGUGUGAUGGCAGAAAUAGAAUCUUAACUACGGGAUUGACGGUUCUCCUCUCCCGGUAGUGAUUCAACGGGAUCGACGGUUCUCCUCUCCCGGUAUGCCAUGAAACAAGUGAAGUGAAUCGUAACUACGGGAUCGACGGUUCUCCUCUCCCGGUAGUGAUUCAACGGGAUUGACGGUUCUCCUCUCCCGGAGCUAACGGGUUUGACGGUUCUCCUCGCCCGUUGAGCUUGAGCGACUUAGGGUCACGGGGAUCGACGGUUCUCCUCUCCCUGUGAUGGACCUAGUGUCGCGUGGACUUAAGGCUGAGGUGUUGUGAGACGUCCUUCACCUCGAGCCUGACUUGACGCGGUACUCCGCGGUUGAUUGACUCAAGACCGAGUCGAGUGGCUAGAUGGCUAAGGUAAAGUAACCUUAGGAAAGAAUCGCCAGUGAGUACAAUAAGAAUAAAGAAUAAAGCAUAAAGAAAAGAAUAAGGAAAUAGCUAAUGAAUGAAACUAGCUAAGAAAGAAUAAAACAGCUACAAGUAAAGAAUGGCUAAUGAUAUAAAGUAGAAUCAAGUAAUCUACUUACAUGAAUUACAGGUAAUGCAUAUUGCAUAGCAGCGAGGCAAGGUAUGGUUUUAUUGAUCGCAUCGUUAAAUAUCUAUCUAUCUAUCUAUUGUUGAACUAACCUACUGUUUCCUCCUUUGGACCUGGUAGGUCGAGCUCUUCUCUUGGGUGGCCGUACCCACUGGGAACUAUAUUUAUAUAGUUCUCACCCCCGUGUUGUUUUGGGGGUACAGGUUGCACGCGAGCGGCGCGGCGGCGCGAGGACAGGGCGUAGUUCCGUAGAUAGCGCCCCACCACCGAGACCGAGAUAGCAAUACCUUGAAGAAGUUAAGUUCAGAGUUCAAAUUGAAAGAAACAAACUUGUAGUGAAAUUGUAUAAGUUUUGUAAUAACUUAAAGGUAUUUGGAAUUUUGUAAAUAUAAAAUGCUGAGAUGAAUGCUUGUAAUAGCAUAGUUAGCACUUUUUGUUUUUGAUACUUACGCAAUCUGUGGUUGAAUACAGUUUCUGUUUGGAACCUCUUGUAUUGCAUUGUAUAGAUUGUGACACCUAGAACGUACAGGGGAGGCUCUGUCCGUUCGGCGGUCUGUCGGCGUACCCGAAUCCGACCAAAUAGGCGGAGCUCGGGGCGUGACAGAUUAAAUGGUAUCAGAGCAUAAAAAGAGUAAUAGAAACGGUUUAGAUGGACCUAGGAGACCUAGGAUAGUAAACCGUAAGGACUUACGCUCGUGAGAGACGAGGACUUGUGACGUGUGGCGAAAGGUGAAUCGAUUGGGUCAAGUUUAGUAAACCUCUAAGACGGAUAUUAGAGGUAGAUUCAAGGUUCAGUUUAUUCUCAGCCAAGUGAGUUCAUGUUGGGUCGACACAACAUGAAACCGGGGGAUGGGAAUAAGCUUCCUUGCAUGACUUUCGCCCGAUUUGAGUCCGUAUUAAUCGUUUCGUAUUCGGCCUAGAGGGUCGAGGACUGACCGAGUUAUCGUGUCAGGUUUCUGGGAACGAUGGCACCGCGUAGGCGAUCUUCGACUAGAUCGGCGCGGGAUGGGACAAGUGGUGUCCCUGAGCGAACCGAGACGAGCGGAGACUUGGAGCUUCGCGAGCAAUUGGCCACACUCGUGGGAGUGGUCAGGCAACAAGUGGAUGUAGUGCAGCGUCAGCAGGAAGCUGCUCUGCGCCAUGAAGAGCGGAUAAAGAGACUCCAGGGGACAGUAGAUCACUUGGUGACUACACCAGUUGGGGCUAGUCAAGGACAGCCGGGAGUUGCGACGGAGGCAUUUCCGUCAGGGUCGGGCAAUCCGACUGCUGUUAGUACAGAGAUGGAAG
RNAcentral lists this long non-coding RNA (49968 nucleotides) under Ananas comosus (pineapple). RNAcentral's name for it is "long non-coding RNA (ACOM_LNC013506)". The record is from RNAcentral. Lineage: Eukaryota; Viridiplantae; Streptophyta; Magnoliopsida; Poales; Bromeliaceae.